ACCACUGUAUACUCUUCCUAUAUAAGCACGGAAGCACAAGUACACUGUACACAACUUGAUCCAAACCUCGAAAUGAAGCUCCCAACUUCAUUCUUACCUCUGCUUCUUCUGUUAUCAUCUUUUUCUUUCUCUUCAUCAGCAACCAAAACAGAUGACUUUCUAAAUUGCCUGGCCAAGUCUUCUGAUUCCACCACAAUCUCCAAGCUUGUUUACACCCCUGCCAACUCCACUUUCGAUGCUGCAUUAACAUACUCUAUUAAUAACCUACGUUUCGCGCAGGCCUCAACUCCCAAACCCCUGGUCAUUGUCACCCCAACAACCGAAUCUCAAGUCCAAAAUGUCAUCUACUGCACCAAGAAAACAGGCUUGGAAAUGAGGAUCAGGAGUGGUGGCCACAGUUACGAGGGCUUCUCGUAUGUUUCAUCACUCCAAUUUAUAGUCCUGGACUUGCGUAACAUUAACAAUGUCACCCUUGACUUGUCAACCAAAACUGCAUGGGUGGAUAGUGGUGCUACAACCGGUGAACUGUAUUAUUACAUCAGCAGGGCCACUUCGGCUUAUGGGUUCCCCUCUGGACUAUGGUCUAAUGUUGGCGUUGGUGGGAUCUUGAGUGGCGGGGGGUACGGUAUGUUGAGGAGGAAAUAUGGUAUAGCUGGAGAUCAAGUGAUCAAUGCUCGUUUGAUUGAUGCAAUGGUAGAAUCCUCACUAGGAGGACCAUGGGUGAAGAUCUGUUCUGGGCAAUCAGAGGUGGUGGUGGUGGAAGCUUCGGAGUUGUUGUGUCCUGGAGAGUUAAUCUAGUACCCGUUCCUCCAAUUGUUACAGUUUUUCGGGUUUUUAGAACUUUGGAAGAAGACAUGACUAAUAUUUUCUACAAGUGGCAAUCUGUUGCCCCUGUCUUCCCUAAUGAACUUGACAUCAGGUAAUUAAGCUGACAUGUGAUCAAUUUAAUUCUAAGAAAACUGGGAUUUUUCAGUACCUGCGUGUAAUUUUAACUCGUAAAUAUGACAUUUUUUUGUUACUGCUAUACUUUUUGCAUAACUGAAGUUUCUGGUAUGUCCUGUCAGGUGCAAUGGACAGGUCAUUCUAAGUAAUUCCAGUACCCGAUCGGAUAAAAAGACCAUGCAAAUGAACUUUGAGUCACUAUACCUGGGACCAGCCAGUGAAGUUCUUGCAAUAAUGAGAGAAAGAUUGCCAGAGCUGGGAUUGGUGAGGGAAGAUCUGUUUGAAGUGAGCUAUAUCCAAGCUAUGGUAUUUUUUUCGCAGUUCCCUAUCCAGGCGCCACCCGAGAUUUUACUAGACAAAACUAUUUCACCUCGUCCAGCAUUCAAAGGAAGCUCAGAUUUCUUCAAGGAACCAAUGCCAAUAGAAGGACUACUAGGCCUGUGGGAUUACAUGUUCCAACUUCCCGAUAACCAAGCAUUCUUGCAGUACACUCCCUAUGGUGGUAGAAUGAAUGAAAUCUCCGCGACCGCGCUCCCAUUCCUUUACCGAGCAGGCUACUUGUACAUGUUCAACUUCUACGCGGUGACAUGUCCAAGUCGAGAAAAAUUUGCAGAAGAGACUGCGAGGAUGGAUUGGGUGAGGACAGUGGAUGAAUAUCUAACUCCUUACGUGACAAGCAAUCCCAGGAGUGCAUAUGUGAACUAUGUGAAUGUUUGGAUGGGUCAGAAUAAUCCAACAGGGAGCACAAGUUAUGCUCAGGCUAGCCAAUGGGGAAAGCGUUACUUCGGUGUAAAUUUUGAUAAGUUGGUCGUGCUCAAGACACUGGCUGAUCCUUUCAACCUCUUCAGACAUGAGCAGAGUAUCCCUGUUUUUUCGUCUUACUCCGAUAUGUAGAAUAUUUGUUCGGUCCCUUUUUCCAUGUGUUCUCGUUUGUUUUAAAUAAGAUUGAAUGUAUUUUCGCCUUCAUCAAAUAAAAAUUUAUGCAUCCAUAAAAAUACAGGAGUUCGUUGGCCUAAUCUUGUAAAAAAGGUUAUCUUCUUAUAAUUAUGUUCUGAAUCACAAGAUCUUAAUCAGAUGACAUAGUUACUCUAACCUAACUUGUACCCUUGUCAAAACAUUAAACAUGUCUAUGCUUUCUUAACUGGUUUAUGACCCGGAUUACAUAAAUUUUUUAAGUUUAUUAUAUAUUAGAAAUUUAAUAUUUUUGAUAUAUUUAUUUAAAUUAUUAUUGUCGAGAUACAAAACUUGUUAAAUUAACAUACUCAUAUUUAAUUAUGUUUAUUAAUAAUUAAUAAUAAUAAUGUAUGGUGAUAAUCAAAUUUUGAUAUUUUGCUAUCAAUAUGGAAUCUUAUUUUUUUAUAUUGUGAUCCAUGAUAGAAAUUUUAUAGAGUUUGUUCGUAGAUUAAAUUAUUAGAGUUUUAAAAUUUAAAAUGAACAGUUUUGUUGACAGUUUAAUUUGUUGAUUGGAUGAUUGUUAUAUUACAAAAUUUAUAAGAGUAUAAUAAUUAUUAUAUUAAUUAAAAAAAUUAUAUGAUAAUAAUAAAAUUAGAGUUGUUUUGUAAAUUAAAUUAUUUGAAUUUGUUUGUUGACUGUAAUUAUGUUGGUGGAAUAAUCAUUAUAUUACGAAAAUCCUAAUUACCAUGAAAGUAUUCUCAUAAUUAUAAGAUAACAAUAUUUAUUAUAUAAAAAAAUUACAUGAUAACCAAUUUUGAUAGUAACGUAUUUCGUACUGAAGUUUUUCCACUAAAGAUGAAUUUCACAUAUUAAUUAAAAUUAUAUAUAUGAAUAAUAUCGAUUUGACUAUUACUAUCAAUAUAAACCUUUAUUUAUUUGAAUUUUGAAACAUGAUAACAAUUUUUCAGAGUUGUUUCAUAAAUUAAAUUAUUUGAGUUUAAAGAAAUUAAAAUAAAUAAUUUUAUUGGUGGUAUAGCUCUUGCAUUACGAAAUCCUAAUUACGGUAGAAGUUUUUUUUUAUAUAGUAUAGCAUUGAAGUCUUUAAUUAUAAAAUUCUAAUCAAUAUCAAAGUCUGAUAAUUAUAAAAUCCUAACCGAUAUCGAAGUCUUUAAUUAUAAAAUCCUAAUUAAUAUGAAAUUCUUUUCAUAAUAAUAUAAUAUAAUUAUAAAAUCCUAACCAAUAUGAUUUUUUUUAUUUUAGUUUAAUGAUUAUUGUUAUUAUUAAAUAAAAAAUUAUAUAUUACAAAAUCCUAAUAAAUGUAGAAGCCGUCUUUAAUUAUAAUAUUUUAAUCAAUUCAUGAAUAUUAUAAAAUCCUCACCAAUAUAAGUCUCUUAAUAAAAAUUCAAAAUUUAGGUGUAUAAUAAUAAUAAUAAUAAUAAUAAUUAAAUAUAAUAUAUGAUGACCAAAUUUUGAUACUUUUAACAUGUUCCAACGAAAUGUGGUUUCGCUUGUUAAUGAAGGGUAUUGUUGCGCUUGAAAAGGAAGGAAGGAACGUGUUGAGGAAUAUUGAAUUUGAACUUUGCAUGACGGAGGUAGAAUAGAAUAGUGAAACAUUUCCAAGCAUGAAUAUUCAACAAAUUUUGAUGAACCGUCGAUAAUAAUCUUUUGAUAAAAUAGAUUUUUUUACCAUUUAACUUAUUGUGUUUUUAGAAAUAUGUUAUCUGAUUAAAUUUUUUUUUUCUUUUUACUCACUAAUGUUAGAUUUUGAUUUUUUUAGCCACAACUUAGGUUCGAAUUUGAUUACUAGCAUUAUGAUAAUUUUAUUUGUCACUAAACUUAUUGCGUCUUUAGAAAUUAACCACUCAACUAUAAUUUUUUUUUUAUUUUACUCAUUAAUGUUAGGUUAUUUUUUUGUCACUCAAGUUAGGUUCGAAUUUGAUUAUUAGCAUUACAUUAAUUCUGUGUAACAUUAUUAAAAUAUAGUGGUAGUCGGUAAUAUUUUGAUGAUUUGGUAUAUGUCUGCAUCGUUAUAUAUAGUACUUUUUAUGUCUCCAAUAUCGUUUACCUUGAGUAAUAGGAAUUUUACACGCAUUUUAUGGCUUUUAAAAGAUGUAGUUUCAUAAAUAAUUUUACUUUUUUCUUCCGAAUAAAAAUUCAGCGUUUGAAUUUUUACACAAUAAAUAAUCACAAAAAUAAGUUAUGAAACUAUGUGAUAUAAGAGUCUUAAAAAAUACGUGCUGAGCAGUAGAAAAAACUGUAAACUAAUGAGAGGGACGGAAGGAGUAAUAAUAUUAAAAUGGUGCAUUAUAGGGGACAAUUAUCAAAAAUUAAGUUAACCUCUCUAUUUAUUUAUCUUGAAAAUUGUAAUAAGAUAAAGUUAUUAAAAUUUAUGAAGAUAAAUUUGACAGAGAUCUUAUACUGAGUUAGUCGAUUGAAACUUUAAUAGCGAAAGAUGAUGCAUCAUAUCACUCAAUUACACUUUAUCUUAUUAGGGAGGGUGAAUUGUUUGAAAUCAUUGAUUUCAUAUUUAUGAUUUAUCAAAUUUUUAGAAUUCUAAAUACGAUUUUUCCUGGUUUUAAUUUUUCAUCGACUCAUUUUAUAUUAUUAUUGUUAUAUAUAAAGAUAUAAACAUACGACACAUCAUCAAAAUAUUACAUACUAACACUAUGUAUAAAUGUUACUACAAAAAUUAUCAUAAUGCUAUAAUGCUAGUAAUCAAAUCCGAACCUAAGUUGGUGGCUAAAAAAACAUCCAAACCUAACAAAAAGGGAAAAAAAUUUAGUUGGAUGGCAAGUUUCCAAAAACACUAUAAGUUGAGAGCAUCUCCAACGCAGGUCGCCUAUUAGCUUUAAAAUCUAAGUGUCAGUCCAUAUACCUAAUAUGUAAAAGAAACACAACUCCAACGCAGAGACUUUUUAGCAAUAUUUUUAGAUGCCAAGAAAUCAGCACGCUACAUUUGUUGAAUGAGAGCCUAUCAUCUAUAUCAUAUCCACGUCAUUUUCUUUUAAAAUUUAACUUAAAAGAAAAUUUAACUGUGUUUCAACCUAGGUGUCUAUACUAUAUUAUAUAUAUGUAUUAUAAUAUUAUAAUUAUAUUGUAUAUAUUUGUAUAUCUUUUUAAUUUUAUAAUUUAAUUUUAUGUAUUGUUAAGUGUAAAAAUAUUUAUAUAAAAUAAAUAAUAUAAUAAAACUAAUAUAAGAACUUAUAUAGUUAUUUAACGUCAAUUGUGAAUUUUUAACAAAGAAAAUUAGUAAAUCUUUUACAUAAUAUAAGUAAUUUUUGUUAAUUAGUUUUUUCAAGUUUUUAUUAUUAUAAUAGUAUCGGUAUAUAUGUUUUUAUUAAUUAUAUUUUUUAUUUUCACUUAUAUUAAAUAAAAAAAUAAUUAACUUUAUAUUAUAAUUCUUUCAAACCCUUUUUAUCAAAAGAUAAUUAGCUUAAAAUCUUUCAUUUAACUUUGAUUCUUGCACUUCUAAAUUUUAUUUUUUUUAUUUAUAGCAUAUAACAUUCUACCUUAAAUCAUUUUUCCAAUAUUUAAAUUGAAAUAUUUAAGGUACUAUUAUUAUUUCAAGUAUAUAUGUAUUAUUCAUGUUUUUUUAUAAAUAAUAUUGUUAUGUAAUAUUAUUUGAAAAUGUUACUUUAUUGUCAAUCAAAUUUUUUAAAAAAUUAUAAUAUAAUAAUAUAAAAAUGUUAAAUAUUAUAAUUAAUCAUUAUUAUCAUAGAUAUUAUUUUGUUUUCAAUAAUAUAGAAUAAAAACUAAAUAAAUUAUUUUAUUGUAUAUUUAUAAUUAACAUUUAAAAUAAUAUUUUGGAUAUAGCUAAUGGUUUUAGCUAAUACCCGUUGGAGCAAAAAUUCUUACAGGCUCAAAAUGUUUUUAGCUAAUGAUAUUUUAGCUAACAGUUUCUUCUUUAGCCUUGGAGAUGCUCUGAGUGGCAAAAAAAUUUAUUUUCCCUAAUCUUUUAUACUCCCUCGGUCCCUAAAUAUUUUUCUCAUUUGUCUUUCUCACGUUUGCUAAUACUCACUUUUGAUUAUUAAUAUCUUUAAUUUUAUAUUCAUAUUAAAUAUAAAAAGUUCACCGUAUUAAUGUACUCAUAAAUACGAAUCCAACAAGAUCAGUCAUGAUUAUAUUUUAUCUUAUAGAUUAAACGGUAAAUUAGUAAUUUGUCUCGUGUUAUGAACAGUACCGACAUUUCAAACCGGUAAUGUUUUUAGAGAGGGAGGGAGUAGUAAUUUUGAUGAGACGACAGUAUUGUUCAUCAAGUUGAAUGUCAGAGUCCACAUGUGUGUUGGCGACUUGAGAACAGGGCAUGACCAAUAUUUUUUACGAGUGGCUGUUCCUCCCCGGUCACCUAAAAGAACUUGACAUCAGAUAUAUUUUGCUCCUAAUAUUUGCUCUUGAAAUAACAUUUUGAGCUUCUGAUUUUAAUUAUUUGUGUUCGGUAUUUAUAAUUUCUUUUUACUCGCCUUGCCAAGUUUUUUGGCCAUGGGCUGACAGGUCAGUGGAAGAGGGCUCCCUUACAUUUAUAACCAACUUGAACGUAAAGUUUUCAAAACCAACCAGCCUACGUUCAAUUUUUCAAAACUAACCAGCCUAAUUCAUUUAAAGUAGGGCGACCCAAACUAAAUUUUUUUGGCUUCAGGGGUCGCCCCUGCCAAGGGGGGCGACCCUUACUUUCAUUUUGCCCCAGUAGGGGUCGCCCCUGCCAAGGGCGACCUCCACUGUUUUAUUUUUUAUUUUUUUAAAUUGUUGCAUUAUUUUAUUAUAUGUUUAUCAUGUUAUUUUAAAUCAUUUUAUUAUGCAUAUAUAAAUUUGUUAAAAUAAUAUAAUUAAUGAAAUGAAAUGAAAUUAGCUCUUGCAUUACGAAAUCCUAAUUACGGUAGAAGUUUUUUUUUAUAUAGUAUAGCAUUGAAGUCUUUAAUUAUAAAAUUCUAAUCAAUAUCAAAGUCUGAUAAUUAUAAAAUCCUAACCGAUAUCGAAGUCUUUAAUUAUAAAAUCCUAAUUAAUAUGAAAUUCUUUUCAUAAUAAUAUAAUAUAAUUAUAAAAUCCUAACCAAUAUGAUUUUUUUUAUUUUAGUUUAAUGAUUAUUGUUAUUAUUAAAUAAAAAAUUAUAUAUUACAAAAUCCUAAUAAAUGUAGAAGCCGUCUUUAAUUAUAAUAUUUUAAUCAAUUCAUGAAUAUUAUAAAAUCCUCACCAAUAUAAGUCUCUUAAUAAAAAUUCAAAAUUUAGGUGUAUAAUAAUAAUAAUAAUAAUAAUAAUUAAAUAUAAUAUAUGAUGACCAAAUUUUGAUACUUUUAACAUGUUCCAACGAAAUGUGGUUUCGCUUGUUAAUGAAGGGUAUUGUUGCGCUUGAAAAGGAAGGAAGGAACGUGUUGAGGAAUAUUGAAUUUGAACUUUGCAUGACGGAGGUAGAAUAGAAUAGUGAAACAUUUCCAAGCAUGAAUAUUCAACAAAUUUUGAUGAACCGUCGAUAAUAAUCUUUUGAUAAAAUAGAUUUUUUUACCAUUUAACUUAUUGUGUUUUUAGAAAUAUGUUAUCUGAUUAAAUUUUUUUUUUCUUUUUACUCACUAAUGUUAGAUUUUGAUUUUUUUAGCCACAACUUAGGUUCGAAUUUGAUUACUAGCAUUAUGAUAAUUUUAUUUGUCACUAAACUUAUUGCGUCUUUAGAAAUUAACCACUCAACUAUAAUUUUUUUUUUAUUUUACUCAUUAAUGUUAGGUUAUUUUUUUGUCACUCAAGUUAGGUUCGAAUUUGAUUAUUAGCAUUACAUUAAUUCUGUGUAACAUUAUUAAAAUAUAGUGGUAGUCGGUAAUAUUUUGAUGAUUUGGUAUAUGUCUGCAUCGUUAUAUAUAGUACUUUUUAUGUCUCCAAUAUCGUUUACCUUGAGUAAUAGGAAUUUUACACGCAUUUUAUGGCUUUUAAAAGAUGUAGUUUCAUAAAUAAUUUUACUUUUUUCUUCCGAAUAAAAAUUCAGCGUUUGAAUUUUUACACAAUAAAUAAUCACAAAAAUAAGUUAUGAAACUAUGUGAUAUAAGAGUCUUAAAAAAUACGUGCUGAGCAGUAGAAAAAACUGUAAACUAAUGAGAGGGACGGAAGGAGUAAUAAUAUUAAAAUGGUGCAUUAUAGGGGACAAUUAUCAAAAAUUAAGUUAACCUCUCUAUUUAUUUAUCUUGAAAAUUGUAAUAAGAUAAAGUUAUUAAAAUUUAUGAAGAUAAAUUUGACAGAGAUCUUAUACUGAGUUAGUCGAUUGAAACUUUAAUAGCGAAAGAUGAUGCAUCAUAUCACUCAAUUACACUUUAUCUUAUUAGGGAGGGUGAAUUGUUUGAAAUCAUUGAUUUCAUAUUUAUGAUUUAUCAAAUUUUUAGAAUUCUAAAUACGAUUUUUCCUGGUUUUAAUUUUUCAUCGACUCAUUUUAUAUUAUUAUUGUUAUAUAUAAAGAUAUAAACAUACGACACAUCAUCAAAAUAUUACAUACUAACACUAUGUAUAAAUGUUACUACAAAAAUUAUCAUAAUGCUAUAAUGCUAGUAAUCAAAUCCGAACCUAAGUUGGUGGCUAAAAAAACAUCCAAACCUAACAAAAAGGGAAAAAAAUUUAGUUGGAUGGCAAGUUUCCAAAAACACUAUAAGUUGAGAGCAUCUCCAACGCAGGUCGCCUAUUAGCUUUAAAAUCUAAGUGUCAGUCCAUAUACCUAAUAUGUAAAAGAAACACAACUCCAACGCAGAGACUUUUUAGCAAUAUUUUUAGAUGCCAAGAAAUCAGCACGCUACAUUUGUUGAAUGAGAGCCUAUCAUCUAUAUCAUAUCCACGUCAUUUUCUUUUAAAAUUUAACUUAAAAGAAAAUUUAACUGUGUUUCAACCUAGGUGUCUAUACUAUAUUAUAUAUAUGUAUUAUAAUAUUAUAAUUAUAUUGUAUAUAUUUGUAUAUCUUUUUAAUUUUAUAAUUUAAUUUUAUGUAUUGUUAAGUGUAAAAAUAUUUAUAUAAAAUAAAUAAUAUAAUAAAACUAAUAUAAGAACUUAUAUAGUUAUUUAACGUCAAUUGUGAAUUUUUAACAAAGAAAAUUAGUAAAUCUUUUACAUAAUAUAAGUAAUUUUUGUUAAUUAGUUUUUUCAAGUUUUUAUUAUUAUAAUAGUAUCGGUAUAUAUGUUUUUAUUAAUUAUAUUUUUUAUUUUCACUUAUAUUAAAUAAAAAAAUAAUUAACUUUAUAUUAUAAUUCUUUCAAACCCUUUUUAUCAAAAGAUAAUUAGCUUAAAAUCUUUCAUUUAACUUUGAUUCUUGCACUUCUAAAUUUUAUUUUUUUUAUUUAUAGCAUAUAACAUUCUACCUUAAAUCAUUUUUCCAAUAUUUAAAUUGAAAUAUUUAAGGUACUAUUAUUAUUUCAAGUAUAUAUGUAUUAUUCAUGUUUUUUUAUAAAUAAUAUUGUUAUGUAAUAUUAUUUGAAAAUGUUACUUUAUUGUCAAUCAAAUUUUUUAAAAAAUUAUAAUAUAAUAAUAUAAAAAUGUUAAAUAUUAUAAUUAAUCAUUAUUAUCAUAGAUAUUAUUUUGUUUUCAAUAAUAUAGAAUAAAAACUAAAUAAAUUAUUUUAUUGUAUAUUUAUAAUUAACAUUUAAAAUAAUAUUUUGGAUAUAGCUAAUGGUUUUAGCUAAUACCCGUUGGAGCAAAAAUUCUUACAGGCUCAAAAUGUUUUUAGCUAAUGAUAUUUUAGCUAACAGUUUCUUCUUUAGCCUUGGAGAUGCUCUGAGUGGCAAAAAAAUUUAUUUUCCCUAAUCUUUUAUACUCCCUCGGUCCCUAAAUAUUUUUCUCAUUUGUCUUUCUCACGUUUGCUAAUACUCACUUUUGAUUAUUAAUAUCUUUAAUUUUAUAUUCAUAUUAAAUAUAAAAAGUUCACCGUAUUAAUGUACUCAUAAAUACGAAUCCAACAAGAUCAGUCAUGAUUAUAUUUUAUCUUAUAGAUUAAACGGUAAAUUAGUAAUUUGUCUCGUGUUAUGAACAGUACCGACAUUUCAAACCGGUAAUGUUUUUAGAGAGGGAGGGAGUAGUAAUUUUGAUGAGACGACAGUAUUGUUCAUCAAGUUGAAUGUCAGAGUCCACAUGUGUGUUGGCGACUUGAGAACAGGGCAUGACCAAUAUUUUUUACGAGUGGCUGUUCCUCCCCGGUCACCUAAAAGAACUUGACAUCAGAUAUAUUUUGCUCCUAAUAUUUGCUCUUGAAAUAACAUUUUGAGCUUCUGAUUUUAAUUAUUUGUGUUCGGUAUUUAUAAUUUCUUUUUACUCGCCUUGCCAAGUUUUUUGGCCAUGGGCUGACAGGUCAGUGGAAGAGGGCUCCCUUACAUUUAUAACCAACUUGAACGUAAAGUUUUCAAAACCAACCAGCCUACGUUCAAUUUUUCAAAACUAACCAGCCUAAUUCAUUUAAAGUAGGGCGACCCAAACUAAAUUUUUUUGGCUUCAGGGGUCGCCCCUGCCAAGGGGGGCGACCCUUACUUUCAUUUUGCCCCAGUAGGGGUCGCCCCUGCCAAGGGCGACCUCCACUGUUUUAUUUUUUAUUUUUUUAAAUUGUUGCAUUAUUUUAUUAUAUGUUUAUCAUGUUAUUUUAAAUCAUUUUAUUAUGCAUAUAUAAAUUUGUUAAAAUAAUAUAAUUAAUGAAAUGAAAUGAAAUAAUAUAUAAAAAUUAAUAUAAAUUAAUAUUAAUAUUUUGUGAUAUAUUAUUUAAAAUUUUUAUUAUAAUUGUAUUAUAAUAAAGUUUUAUUAAUAUAAAAAUAAAAUUUAAUUGAUUGAAUUAACUAAAAAUAAAGAUCAAUUAAUAUAAAUAGAAAUUGCAUAUAUCAUUCCGAUUUGCAGUAUUAAAAAACUGCAAAUUGAAAUUACACACCUAGAGGGGGGGUGAAUAGGUGUUAUGACUAAUAUACCCGAUUUUUAUAAGUUACCAAAUAAUUAAUCUGUCAAUGACAGCCUGCUGUUAAUUUUCAGAGUAAACAGUUAGCCUGCUAAUAAGAUAAAUGCAAUGCAGAUAAUGUAAAGCAGUAUGCUAGCAACACCAAGAAUUUUAGCCAGGUUCGACCCCUAACCCUAAUGGUCUACGUCCUGGUCCCCUACCAACUGGUAAGAGAUUAUAUUAUUAAUCAAUAAUAUCAACGAUUACAAGAUUCAAUAAUAUAACUCCCUUUCUCCCUUGUUCCUGUUAUCAGCCUGCUGAAACCCCUGAACCACGAACCAAAAGCCUACCAAGACCUAUACUUCCCAAGUAUAUUCUCCUAGCUAACUAGUUCCCUUGUUCCCUUGUUUCACAAGCUGGAUACACAGCAACAAAACAUUACACCUUGAACAAUACAAUGAAUAAGUGUAAUACAACCGAAACUAUGAACUCUCAAUAUAGAUAUAUAUGCAAAUAUAAGUACUAGAGCUCAACAAAAGAUUUAGCAAUGUAAAGAGUUGUAUUUCAGAAAGCUUGGUGUGUUCUCCUUAUUCUAAAAAACGAAAUCACACUCAAGUAUAUAUACAUCACACUAACGGUCACAAUUCAACAAAUUUCCCAACGAUCUUGGUAACAACCUCACGUUUAAAUUUGAUUUGAAUGAUGAACGUUUGGAUGACAUAAGUUUACUGAGUAAAAGAUAAUUCACGUUUGAAAUCAUCUCAGUAAAGUAUUUAAAUAAAAUCCGUUUGAAACAAAAUAGGAGUUGUUCAAAAGAUAAGAUUUCUUUGAGAGAAAAUCUCCUAUUAGUUAGGAAAACGUUUUUGAAUGAAAACUCUUUAUAAAACCGAGCUCUAAUAUUUAUAUAAGAUAUAUACAAAUAUUAGAAUCCUUACAAAGUCGUUUCCUAUUAAAUCUCCAUGAAAAUAGACUUUGAUCUUUAUCCGAUUGUUUCUCUGUUCUCGCUGUUAGCCUACUGAUAGCUUGUAAAUAUCCCUGUAAGCUUGCUGACAGCUAUAAUCAUGCUAACAUCCUGAAAUACUGUUAGUCCGCAUAAACAACCUUUGAUAGCAUACUAACAUAUAUCAGUUUCAUGUUAUUAGCUUGCUGUUAGUGUCAUCAUCAAAACCUUGAGAGUAUCAAUCUCCCCCUUUUUGAUGAUUACACUAUAUUAGGAAAAGUAAUAAACUCCCCCUAAACAUAGCAAUCUAAUAUCACUGAACUUUCACACUUAACACAGAAUAUAAUAUAGCAGAUAUCUAAUUCACAGAUAUGCAAUAUUUAACUAACACCAAAACAAUUAAUCAAAGCAACUUACAUAGAUAAUUUAAAAUAAUCCUAACCAGGAUAAACCACCUGGUAUCCACAAAUUCAAAUCCAAACAACUUAAACAAAUUUACUCAGGAUAAACCACCUGAGAUCACCAAAUUCAAAUCCAACCAGCACAAAACAACUUAGUCUUAAAGCAAAUUAAACUUAGGGCCAAAUGUACUUAAGCAGAUAAACACAAACUUAAGUAAAGUCUUAUUUUCCUAAUGUUCCUAAUUUCCUCCCCCUUAAUCAUUAAAAAGGUUGAGAAAAUCAAGUUCCAGCCUUGUCCUGAUCAUCCUUUUCCUUCGCAAACUUCUUGGCAAGCUCCGCAGCAAUAAGAUUUUCAGCCAGCAUCGCAUUCCCAGCAGCAGCAUACUUGGAAUCAGUUCCAGCAGCUUCCUUCAGUGCAUCCAAAGCUGUCCUUGGCCUUGGGCUAUCUGUGGCAUCAUCUUCUGAAGUGAAGGUGACCUUCAUAUCGGACGAACCACCAGACCCAUACAUCCGCUGGCAGAGUUCAUAGGCAAAACUCCCAGAACUGCAUUUCUCUGAAGCAGUUGAAGUUCGAGCCCCAAACAUCAUCUCUUUCCAGAAACCAACCUGAGAAACCAACUCAGCCAUCUGCUCAGACAGCUGCUUUUGCCCGUCCAUCACCUCCUUGUGAUUUGCCCGAAGCUCACUCAUAUACUCAUGAAUUUCUUGAGCAGAAAUGCCCAAAUCAAUAACAUUCACAGACUGGGUUGUGGAUGGAGGAGGAGGAACUUCAACAGUAACCAACUGCCCAUCCUUAUCCAAUUUCAAAUUGGAUUGAGCCAAAAACUUAGCGUCCAAAAAUUCCUUAGCAACAAUGGUUUCCUCAUCAGCAAAAGACACACCAAACCACUCGAAUACUCGAGUCAACAACAAACCAUACGGUAAACCACCAGUUGAUUUACCCUCAACAGAAUCCAACAUAUUCUUUAAAAUCAAAUCACUUAAGUCAAAUUUGCGACCAGCCAUCAACAUAGCAACCACAACAAUAUCUUGAGAGGAUAAAUUAGAACGAGUUCCCAAUCUCGGACUGACAUUCUCUAUAGACAACUUAAAUAAAGCUUGUGCCAGUGGGAGCAAUUGUGUAGUUGACGGAAAAGCAUUUUCAGAAACAAUUUCAGACCCAGUGAUUAAUUUUAAUUGAUCUUUGUGAGAGAAACCCUCAACAUCCUUAGGUCCUCUUUUAGUGUGUAUAGACAUAGUAGAUGGUGGAAUCUUAAGUAUAGCCCCCAAAAACAUAGAGGACAGACAGAUCUUCACAUCCGACACAUACGAUACAUACUGAUCAGACCCAACUAACUGCAAAUUCGCAUAAAACUCUCGAACUAGAGCAGGGUAACAAUUUUUAGGCAUAUCCACUAAAAAUGACUGAAACCCUAAAUCCUCAAAGAGCUUCACGAUACCACAAGAGUAAAAGUUUUUGCCAGAAAGAGGCUUACCCAUGAUGACUUUCCGACCCGCAAGACCACGGACUGCAAGAACCUCUGACUUAACCUUCUUUUGCCCAGAUUCAACACCUGCAUCGCCCCGAUUGAUUCCGGAUAACUCAUCACCGCUUUCCAUAGUCACCAAAUCCUCGCUGGUUUCAUCAAUAAGCUUUCGCUUUUGAGAAGUAGGAGUGGGCUGAGGAGUGAGUGCCUUAACAUUAGCCCGCGUCUUCUUCCUCAUAGCUAAGCGUAAACCGAUUGAGGCUAUUGUGGCUACAAAGGCUUUUCGAAGAAAGUGGGAUAAAACCCUAGUGUCUCGGGGAGGGUUGAAUAUGUAGUUGAAAAGGCGUGGAGAUAGGAUUUGUUUUAAACACCUUUUAAUAAUUAUCAGGGGAGUAGUUUUAGGAAUAAAAUUAAACGAACUAAUAUUCCUAAGAAAAUUCAUGUUAAUCUAUUAGAUCCCGAAUAAAUAAAAAUUCUAGUGACCACUUAUCAUGUAACACUCCUAUAUAUACUCAGUGUAACUAAUUUGAAUUUUAAAACUAAUCAUAAAUUACACAGAUAAGCACAAAGUCACGUAUCAAAAUUCAACACACAAUUUCAUCUUUCUAAGCAUAUAACGGUAAUAUCAUUUAUGCACACAUAUAUCAAUUAAACACUUAAACUGACCGGCAUGCAAAAUAAAUAAGAAUUAUAUAAAAUGCUAUGAGUAAGCUGAUAGUACCCGGACCAUACUUAAAAGCCUGCUGACUGCACAUCACACAUAUCCAAUUCCCUUCUCAGCACGACAUAACGUUCCUCAGGAAGCGGUUUUGUGAAGAUGUCAGCUAAUUGUUCUGCUGUAGCCACAAAAAUUAACUUGACAGCACCCUUUGCAACAUUGUCUCUCAGAAAAUGAUGUCUAACAUCAAUGUGCUUUGUCCUUGAAUGAUUGACUGGAUUUUCUGAAAUGUUGAUUGUACUUGUGUUGUCACAAAAGAUAGGAGUUUGCUUGCAUUUGAUUCCAAAGUCCUUCAAUUGUUGUCUCAUCCAUAGCAUUUGAGAGCAACAGCUACCAGCUGCUAAAUACUCCCCCUCAGCCGUAGAUAGAGCAACUGAAGUUUGCUUCUUGCUUAACCAAGAAACUAAGCUUUGACCCAAAAAUGCACAAACACCACUUGUACUUUUUCUAUCAGUUUGACUACCUGCAUAAUCUGCAUCACUAUACCCAACAAGAUCAAAAGCAUUUGUGAUAGGAUAGAAUAAGCCCAAAGUAAUGGUUCCACUUAAAUAUUUAAAUAUUCUUUUAACAGCUUGUAAGUGAGAAUCCUUUGGUUUUGCUUGAAAUCUAGCACAAACACAAACACUAUACAUAAUAUCAGGUCUAGAGGCCGUAAGAUAAAGUAAACUUCCAAUCAUACCUCUAAACAUUCGAAUAUCAACAUCUUUACCAUUUUCAUCUGCUGUCAGCUUGCUGACAACGCUCAUUGGUGUUGAUUUCGCCUUGAUAUUCUCAUAUCCAAAUCUUUUGAGUAGAUUCUUGAUAUACUUGGAUUGAUGCACAUAAAUUCCUUCUGGAGUUUGCUUAAUUUGGAGCCCCAAGAAAUAAUUGAGCUCUCCCAUCAUGCUCAUGUCAAACUCACUAUGCAUGCACUUUGAAAACCACUUACACAAAGAAUCAUUAGUAGAUCCAAAUAUAAUAUCAUCUACAUAUAUUUGAACAACUAAUAUAUCUUGACCAUGACCGAGGUGCUUGCCUUAAUCCAUAUAGUGCCUUCUUGAGCUUGUAGACACGGUUGGGAUAUUUUUCAUCCUCGAAUCCUGGUGGUUGCUUGACAUAGACUUCUUCCUUUAGAUAUCCAUUUAAGAAUGCACUUUUGACGUCCAUUUGAUGUAGCUUGAACUUCUUGUAGCAUGCAAAUGAUAAUAGCAUCCUAAUAGAUUCCAAUCUUGCAACCGGAGCAUAUGUUUGAUCAAAAUCAAUUCCUUCUUGCUGAUUGUAUCCUUGUGCAACAAGUCUAGCUUUGUUCCGAGUGAUAGUACCAAAUUCAUCAACUUUAUUCUUAAACACCCAUUUGGUUCCAACAAUUGAAGCAUCCUCUGGUGGAUCUACAAGUUCCCAAACAUCACAUCUUUCAAAUUGGUUGAGUUCUUCUUGCAUUGCCAUGAUCCAAUUUUCAUCUUGUAAAGCCUCUUGAACAUUCUUUGGUUCCUCUUGAGCUAUAAAGGCAGCAUAAGCACAAAUGUUGGCUUGAGCUUUCCUUGUCUUGAUUCCAGCUGAUUUAUCUCCAAUGAUCAACUGAGGAGGAUGAAUCAUUACUGUUCUAGUUGAUUUUGGUAGAUUGUGUUGAGCUAUGACCUCUUCAUUCCUUGUAGUCUGCCUAGGAGGAGUCUGAUCAACAACAUUUUGGCUUGCUGAUGAAGUUUGACCUCUGGAUUCAUCCAAUGUGAGCUUUGACAUCUUAUCCAAAGUUUCUUCAAGAGAUGGAGUGGAUUCAGUAGCUUUAUUGCCUUCUGAAGUUGUGGCAGUUGACUUGUCAGCUUGCUGAUUUCCAGUUUCCUGCACUGUCAGCUUGCUGCUAGUACCUGAACCUGCACAUUCUUCCUCAUCUCUUGCAAGAUCAUCAGUAGACUCUUGAAAUGAAACAUCAAUAGACUCUUCAACAGUAUGUUUAGCAAGAUUAUACACUCUAUAAGCACGACUCGUUAAAGAAUAACCCAAAAAUAUAGCUUCAUAAGAUUUAGAGUCGAAUUUACCAUCCCUAUCAAUGGUUUUGAGUACGAAGCACUUAGAUCCAAAAACUUUGAAGCAGCUGAUGUUAGGCUUCUUUUUCCUUAGCAGUUCAUAAGGAGUCUUGUUGAGAAUUGGCCUGAUAAGCACUCUGUUAAGAACAUAGCAUGUUGUGUUGACAGCUUCUGCCCAGAAACUUCUUGGCAGCUUGCUCUCCUGCAGCACUGUCCUAGCUGUUUCUUGUAAGGACCUGGUCUUACGCUCUACAACUCCAUUUUGCUGAGGUGUAUGAGGUGCUGAGAACUCAUGUGAGAUUCCUCUUUCUUCACAAUAAGUAAUGAAGUCUUUUUGGAAUUCCCCACCAUGAUCACUUCGAAUACCAUUUUCUUUGCCUUAUGUGGAGUCCUUGUUUGCUUUCCCAAUUGACAAGCAGAACAUGUCUCCAUCUUGACAUACUUAAGCUUUGGUAAUCCUCGAACAAGCUUCUUUGCUGACAGCUUGCUGAGAUUAUCCAUAUGAGCAUGUCCAAGCCUUCUAUGCCAAAUUUCUGGAUUGUUAUCCAUAGCUGCUAAACAAACACCUGCCUCCUGUUCUUCAAAGUUCAAAACAUAUAUAUUUCCUUCUCGUUUUUCAACUAGAGGAGAUUUGUUAGCACCAACAAGUAUAGUACAUUUAUCCUUACCAAAGUUAACAAUAUGACCAUCAUCAAAUAACUGACUUAUACUAAGCAAGUUAAAAGUAAGACCUUUGACAUAUUGUGCCUUGUUAAUAGAAAUGAUACUAUUACCUAUAGUUCCUUUGCCAAGAAUAGGAAGAGUCUUGCUAUCACCAAUUGUGACACGACCACCCUUCUUCAUCUCCAAGCUUAGAAACUGAGAUUUGUCUCCACUCAUGUGCCUAGUGCAUCCACUAUCCAAUAUCCAUUGAUUUGGCUUUACUUUAGACACGAGACAAACCUACAAAACAAACACAAACAACUCAACGUUUUGGUACCCAAAUUUUGUUGGGUCCAGCAGUGUUAGAUGAUAAAACAUAUAGAACAUUUAUAUCAGAUUUCUUGAUCCACAUUUGGACCACUUUAGAACUCUUCUUCCAUGUUCUGCCAGUCUUAUCAGCAUACUGUCUAGGAGCUGUCUUCUGUCUGUUUGUGUUGUCAGCAUACUGUCUGUGAGUUGACUUCCUUCUCCAGCUUGCUGAUUGAGUAUUCUUCAUUGGACAAUUAUUAGCAAGAUGGCCCUUCUUUCCACACUUGUGACAAGUCACCCAAGGCAUGGCAUAAUUAUAUGGAAUGCCAUUUUUCCCUUCAUAUCUCAUUGAAGAUGUGGAUGUAGAAGCUGCACCAAUGCCUCCUUUGUCAUGAGAACCUUUAGCUUGUUUCAUCAUAGAUUUGAGACUUUCUUCUCCUUGAACAAACUUUCCCAUGGCUUUCUGAAGAUCUUUGACUUCUUGCUCCAAUGACUUGAUCUUUUCAGCUUGAAUAGAGAUUUCGGCUAAGCUUUGGGAUUUGCUUAACUCGAAUGCUUCCAAGCUUGCAUCCUUAGCUUUAAGGUCUGCUCUCAGCGAGCUGAGUUCCUUCAUGAGUGUAUCAUUCCUUCUUUGGAUUUGCAUGUUGUUCCCUUCAAGUUGUGAGAUUUGUUCCUUGAGAGUAGCAAUGAUUCCACUGCUUGCCUUGGCACUCUUUUCAUUCAAGAAAUCACCUAUGACUUUCUUCAAAUGCACAUUUUCUUUCUCGAGCUCAUAGUUCUCAUUCUUUAGAUCAAUGAGUUCCAUAAUUGACAGACAACUUUUAUCCUGCAUGGUUAGUUCACAAGAUGUUGUAUCAAUAGAAUGUAAUUCAGAAUUAAUAGAAUGUACCUCACUAUUAGUCUCUGAAUCUGAAUCAGUUGUCUCUAUUGAGCCAUCGAGACCAACAAGAGCCAAGUUAACCAUCUCAUCACUUGAAACAUCAGAAGCUGAUUCAUCUUCAUCAUCACUCCAUGUGAGAAGUGCCUUUGAUUUCUUUUUGUUCUUGUAAUCAGCUUGCUGUUUAGGCGGCUUAGACUUGUUUUUCAGCUUGUAGCAAUCCCUUUUGAAAUGUCCUUUCUUGCCACAUUCGAAACAUGCAUCAUCUUUUGGAUCUUUCUUUGCACCAAAAGCUUUGCCCUUUUCUCUUUUCAUCUUAUUCUUCUUUUCGAUCAUUCUUUUGAUUUUUCUGGACAUGAGAGCUAGAUCCUCAUCUAAUUCUGUUUCCUCAUCCGUUUCCAGCUUGCUGACAGAGGAGUGCAGUGCAAGAUUAUUCAUUUUCUCAGUAGGCAGCUUGCUGCUUUCUGAGCUGUUAGCUUCAAUCUUAGCUUCAAAUUGUUCCAACUCAGCAAAUAUAGCCAGGUGAUCCAUAGUAUCAAUGUUGAGAGCCGACUCCAAUGCUGUGACCUUGGCACCAUAUUCGAAUGGAGUUGCGUUAAGAAUAUUCAUGUUGAUUUCCGAUUGAGGAAUCUUUUUGCCAAGUCUUUCAAGACUGUUGAGAGUGACUUGGAAUCUAGCUUGGCUUUCUCGAAUGGAUUCUCCCUUCUUGAUAGCAAAGCUUCCAAAUUCUUUCAUAAGCUUUCCGAGCUUGACUUUCUUUAAUGCCUUUGAGCCUUCGUGAUAUGUCUCCAAUGCAUCCCAAAUUUCUUUUGCAGAUUUGAGAGAAGAGACCUUGUCAUAUUCAGCUUGAUUCAGCCCAUUGAUUAAUGUACUCCUUGCUUUUCCAUUGGCAGCAACCUUUGAUAGCUCGUCCGCUGUGAGAACAUCAACGUCCUUGACUUUGCCAUCGCUAUCAAGAUAUUCAUAAGGACCUCUUUGCACAACUCUUUGCAUUAGGGGAUCUCUGGAUAGAUGAGCCUCCAUUUGGCCUUUCCACCAAUUGUAGUUGUCAGAACCCGUGAGGAGAGGAGCUCUAAAAUCGGACUUUCCCUGAAAGUUAUCAGCCAUAUCGAUCGAUACUAUUCCUGUUACAGAAGUAUUAGUACAAACACAGCUCUGAUACCAAUUGAAAUUACACACCUAGAGGGGGGGUGAAUAGGUGUUAUGGCUAAUAUACCCGAUUUUUAUAAGUUACCGAAUAAUUAAUCUGUCAAUGACAGCCUGCUGUUAAUUUUCAGAGUAAACAGUUAGCCUGCUAAUAAGAUAAAUGCAAUGCAGAUAAUGUAAAGCAGUAUGCUAGCAACACCAAGAAUUUUAGCCAGGUUCGACCCCUAACCCUAAUGGUCUACGUCCUGGUCCCCUACCAACUGGUAAGAGAUUAUAUUAUUAAUCAAUAAUAUCAACGAUUACAAGAUUCAAUAAUAUAACUCCCUUUCUCCCUUGUUCCUGUUAUCAGCCUGCUGAAACCCCUGAACCACGAACCAAAAGCCUACCAAGACCUAUACUUCCCAAGUAUAUUCUUCUAGCUAACUAGUUCCCUUGUUCCCUUGUUUCACAAGCUGGAUACACAGCAACAAAACAUUACACCUUGAACAAUACAAUGAAUAAGUGUAAUACAACCGAAACUAUGAACUCUCAAUAUAGAUAUAUAUACGAAUAUAAGCACUAGAGCUCAACAAAAGAUUUAGCAAUGUAAAGAGUUGUAUUUCAGAAAGCUUGGUGUGUUCUCCUUAUUCUAAAAAACGAAAUCACACUCAAGUAUAUAUACAUCACACUAACGGUCACAAUUCAACAAAUUUCCCAACGAUAUUGGUAACAACCUCACGUUUAAAUUUGAUUUGAAUGAUGAACGUUUGGAUGACAUAAGUUUACUGAGUAAAAGAUAAUUCACGUUUGAAAUCAUCUCAGUAAAGUAUUUAAAUAAUAUCCAUUUGAAACAAAAUAGGAGUUGUUCAAAAGAUAAGAUUUCUUUGAGAGAAAAUUUCCUUAUUAGUUAGGAAAACGUUUUUGAAUGAAAACUCUUUAUAAAACCGAGCUCUAAUAUUUAUAUAAGAUAUAUACAAAUAUUAGAAUCCUUACAAAGUCGUUUCCUAUUAAAUCUCCAUGAAAAUAGACUUUGAUCUUUAUCUGAUUGUUUCUCUGUUCUCGCUGUUAGCCUGCUGAUAGCUUGUAAAUAUCCCUGUAAGCUUGCUGACAGCUAUAAUCAUGCUAACAUCCUGAAAUACUGUUACUCCGCAUAAACAACCUUUGAUAGCAUACUAACAUAUAUCAGUUUCAUGUUAUUAGCUUGCUGUUAGUGUCAUCAUCAAAACCUUGAGAGUAUCACAAAUAAAAUUACAUAUGAUAAAAAUGAGAACAUGACAUAAGUUCUCAAUCCUGACUGAUGUCCACAAUAUAGUCGGAACCAUAUCCUUCAUCAUCAUCUUCAUCGUCCUCAGCGUGAGCAUCAUCGUCUCCACCAUCAUCAGCAACACCGCCUUCCUCUUCAUCGUCAACAUCAUCAUCGGCCCACGGGGUAGGCAUUUGUACUCGACGGCACUGAUAAGUUACAUUGUCCACAUCUCCCCACUCGGCCCCAAAAUCUGGCUUCCUGACUUNNNNNNNNNNNNNNNNNNNNNNNNNNNNNNNNNNNNNNNNNNNNNNNNNNNNNNNNNNNNNNNNNNNNNNNNNNNNNNNNNNNNNNNNNNNNNNNNNNNNNNNNNNNNNNNNNNNNNNNNNNNNNNNNNNNNNNNNNNNNNNNNNNNNNNNNNNNNNNNNNNNNNNNNNNNNNNNNNNNNNNNNNNNNNNNNNNNNNNNNNNNNNNNNNNNNNNNNNNNNNNNNNNNNNNNNNNNNNNNNNNNNNNNNNNNNNNNNNNNNNNNNNNNNNNNNNNNNNNNNNNNNNNNNNNNNNNNNNNNNNNNNNNNNNNNNNNNNNNNNNNNNNNNNNNNNNNNNNNNNNNNNNNNNNNNNNNNNNNNNNNNNNNNNNNNNNNNNNNNNNNNNNNNNNNNNNNNNNNNNNNNNNNNNNNNNNNNNNNNNNNNNNNNNNNNNNNNNNNNNNNNNNNNNNNNNNNNNNNNNNNNNNNNNNNNNNNNNNNNNNNNNNNNNNNNNNNNNNNNNNNNNNNNNNNNNNNNNNNNNNNNNNNNNNNNNNNNNNNNNNNNNNNNNNNNNNNNNNNNNNNNNNNNNNNNNNNNNNNNNNNNNNNNNNNNNNNNNNNNNNNNNNNNNNNNNNNNNNNNNNNNNNNNNNNNNNNNNNNNNNNNNNNNNNNNNNNNNNNNNNNNNNNNNNNNNNNNNNNNNNNNNNNNNNNNNNNNNNNNNNNNNNNNNNNNNNNNNNNNNNNNNNNNNNNNNNNNNNNNNNNNNNNNNNNNNNNNNNNNNNNNNNNNNNNNNNNNNNNNNNNNNNNNNNNNNNNNNNNNNNNNNNNNNNNNNNNNNNNNNNNNNNNNNNNNNNNNNNNNNNNNNNNNNNNNNNNNNNNNNNNNNNNNNNNNNNNNNNNNNNNNNNNNNNNNNNNNNNNNNNNNNNNNNNNNNNNNNNNNNNNNNNNNNNNNNNNNNNNNNNNNNNNNNNNNNNNNNNNNNNNNNNNNNNNNNNNNNNNNNNNNNNNNNNNNNNNNNNNNNNNNNNNNNNNNNNNNNNNNNNNNNNNNNNNNNNNNNNNNNNNNNNNNNNNNNNNNNNNNNNNNNNNNNNNNNNNNNNNNNNNNNNNNNNNNNNNNNNNNNNNNNNNNNNNNNNNNNNNNNNNNNNNNNNNNNNNNNNNNNNNNNNNNNNNNNNNNNNNNNNNNNNNNNNNNNNNNNNNNNNNNNNNNNNNNNNNNNNNNNNNNNNNNNNNNNNNNNNNNNNNNNNNNNNNNNNNNNNNNNNNNNNNNNNNNNNNNNNNNNNNNNNNNNNNNNNNNNNNNNNNNNNNNNNNNNNNNNNNNNNNNNNNNNNNNNNNNNNNNNNNNNNNNNNNNNNNNNNNNNNNNNNNNNNNNNNNNNNNNNNNNNNNNNNNNNNNNNNNNNNNNUCCAGAUAACCCGAUCCCCCAAUUCACCGAGGAGAUCAUGGCAGCAAGGAUUUCUCGGAAGUUCAAAUUGCCCACUAUUAAGGCAUAUGAUGGAACGGGUGACCCCGCGAAUCAUGUACGAACCUUCAUGAAUGCAUUGCUGUUGCAACCAGUCACGGAGGCCAUCAAGUGUCGAGCCUUCCCCCAAACCUUGAGCGGGAUGGCUCAGCACUGGUAUAGUCGACUACCCCCUAACUCUAUAUCCUCGUUUGGAGAUUUGAGCCGAGUUUUCAUGGGCCAGUUUAUUGGGAGUAAGACCCACGCUAAGAGUUCAGCCUCGUUGAUGAACCUUCACCAAGGCAGGAACGAAUCCCUUCGAGACUAUAUGAAUAGGUUCACCAAGGAGGCGCUCAAAGUCCCGGAUUUGGACCAAAAGGUAGCGAUGAUCGCCCUUCAACAAGGAACCACGGAUGAUAAUUUCCGCCGCUCACUAGCCAAGAGGGCCCCUGACAACAUGAAUGAGCUCCAAGAGAGAGCCGGGAAGUAUAUUAUGGCAGAGGAAAGCAUGAGAAAAUCCCAGAAUAACCAGGGACCAACCACGGACUCUAAGAAGCGUGGGAACGAUGCUGAAUAUGAUGCUGAUCACAAGUAUUUGAAAAGGGAAGAUGGUGAAAAGUCACCCACCAAGAAGCAAUCAGGACCGAGGUUCACUGAGUAUGCAAGGCUGAAUGCCCCCAGGAGUCAGAUUCUGAUGGAAAUUGAGAAAGAGGGAGGAGUUCGAUGGCCGAAGCCAAUUAGGACUGACCCCGAAAAGAGAAACAAGGACUUGUAUUGCAGGUUUCAUAAGGAUACGGGACAUAAGACCGAUGAUUGUCGGCAGUUGAAGGAUGAGAUUGAGUUUUUGAUCCGGAAAGGCAAGUUGUCCAGGUAUACUAGGGAUGCAGAUAGGAAUCCCCGUGACAAUGAUAGUCGCGAUAGGGACAAUGAUGAUCAUGAUAGGAGAACCGAGCCUCGAGGGCCCAUGAUCAAUAUGAUCUCUGGAGGACCGACUGCAGCAGGCUUGUCUAGUAACUCACAAAAAGCUUAUGCUCGUGAAGUGAUGUGUAUCAUUGGAGAACCCCCGAAGAGGGCCAAGACCGAGAUUGCGUUAACCUUUGAUGAUUCUGAUCUAGAAGGGGUGAAGUUCCCCCAUGACGACCCGUUGGUCAUAACUCCCGUUAUUGGAAACUCAUCUAUUAAGAGGGUUCUUGUUGAUAAUGGAGCUUCUGUAGACAUCCUCUUCUAUGAUGCUUAUCAAAAGAUGGGGUAUGCUGAUUCACAGUUGACACCGUCCAACAUGCCGAUCUAUGGUUUCAACGGAGUAGAAUCCAAGAUUGAAGGAAUGAUCCAAUUACCAGUGACCAUGGGAGCGGAGCCACGACAGGCCACUUACAUGAUGAGCUUUAUGGUCAUUAAGGCCUCAUCAACCUACAACGCUAUCCUAGGAAGGACAGGGAUGCAUGCUUUUAAAGCCAUAGCAUCCACAUAUCACUUGAAAAUCAAGUUCCCCACAAGAAAUGGGGUAGGAGAAGAAAAAGGAGACCAAAAAAUGGCCAGGAGUUGUUAUGUUGCAGCCUUGAAACCCCGGGGAGUCGGGGGGCAGGUUCUAUCAAUUAAGGAACUGGUUCCCAUCUCCUUGUACCGAGGUAAACCAGAAAAGGUUAUGGCGUUUGAUCUUAAGAAUGCAAGAGCCACGUAUUGGCGCCUAGCUAAUAAGAUGUUUAAGCUUCUAAAUGAGAAGACCAUGGACGUCUAUGUCAAUGAUAUGCUAGUGAAGAGCUUGAAGAAAGCUGAUCACCUUGAGCGCCUGAGAGAGGCUUUCAGAGUCCUGAGGACAAAUAAGAUCGAAGUCUUGACUGACCAACCCCUUAGGAUGAUAAUGCAUAGCCCGAAGGCUAGUGGAAGAUUGAUUAAGUGGGCAGUAGAGCUUGAAAAUUUCGACAUUCGAUACAAGCCACGGGUGGCAAUCAAAGCUCAAGCUCUGGCUGACUUCCUAGUUAAAUGUACCGUUGAUAACCAGGAAGUUGGGGGGCAGGAGAGUAGGGUAGAGGAACCCAUAGAAGAGGAGAAACUUAAUGAGAUUUUUGACGAAGUUUCAAAAACAAAUGGUGCAGGGCUUGUGCUCCAAACCCCUGAUGGGUUCGUCAUUGAUUUUUCUACAAAGCAAGAUUUCCCGGCCACAAAUAACGAGGCUGAAUGUGAAGCCUGAUUGGCGUGCCUUGGACUAGCUAGAACUCUGAGAAUCAAGAACUUAAAAGUCUAUGGAGACUCAAGACUUGAAGUCUCUCAGUUAGCUUAUGGAGCCAAAGCAGUGGUGUCACUAGUCGCGACUCGUACAACUUUCAGACCCUGGAUGGAAUCAAGGUUCCAAGGAGUUGGCAUGCCACCAACUUGAAGAUUUAUUAUGUUUGAUUGUCUUAGUAAGUAGAUAACCGGCUCGUACAAGCUUCAGACCCUGGAUGGAGUUGAGUUUCCAAGGAGUUGGCAUGCCACCAACUUGAAGAUUUAUUAUAUUUGAUUAUCUUAGCAAGUAGAUGACCGUUGAAUAAGGUCUGAUAGACCACUGCCAGUUAGUUUAUAACUUAGUUGAUUUUAGUUGUUUAUCUCUUCUACUAUAGUUUCAAUAAAAUUUCUUAUGGAUUGCUCCAUAUCUCAUGUUUCUAAUGUUUUCCUUGAGUUUUUGUUUACCUACCGUGAACGGAUCAACCCGGAACAUGAAUUCAACCAUAAAUAAGUUACGAUUAACAUUGAUUGAGUGAAAAUUACAAGCUAAGGCUUGAUAAGUCCGAUACUACGAGUUAAGGCUAAACAAGUCUAAUACUACAAGUUAAGGCUAGAUAAGUCUAAAUAAGUAGACCACGCAGGGUCCUUAAUAAAUCCUACUCAUCAGACUCGGAAUCAGCCUCCGAGCUAUCUGCAGACCCGGACUCCCCAGCCGGAUGCUUUUCAAGAACAAUCCUCAUGGGACAGAGAUCUUCAAUAGGACUAGGAGAGUCAAGAACAAUCCUCAUGGGACAGAGGUAAUCCCAUUUAGGAUGGAAUAGGUCUGGAUGAUCCUCAUGAAUGAAAUGAACAGCCUCAUUCCACCCGUUACUGUAAUCCUCGGCAGAGGUGGUCUCAUUGUGCUUCUCCAGCAGAUUCUUGAACUCAUCAGAGUCCAUAUAGUCGUCGAUGAUAGCAUCCUUUCCCUUUCGAGCCUCGACUAGCUCGCUUCGAGCUUCCACUAGCUCCGAUUGAGUCUUAGCCACAAUCUCGUCUUUUUCCGCAUCCUUGAUUCGAAGGGCCUCCAUGCCCUCCUCCAAGGAUUCCUUAGCCUUCUUGUGGCUCUCAGCUUGUUUUUUCCAAGCUUUAGCCUGAUGGAGGGCAGCCUGGAAUUGAGCAUUGGCCUGAGACAAGUAGAUAAACGGGUUAAGGAAGACUCGGAGAACCUAAACAAUAAGUUUGUAAGAACACUCACACUAGCAAGGGCUUGAGAGCCAAAGCCAUCAAUCCCCUCGAUCUUCGACUGUAGCACCACAUCCUGGUAGUCGGCAGGGGUAAUAGAGUGAAGGGACCAAUCAGAAGCAUGAAUAGUCGAUCCCAGCAUCGAAUCAGUCCUUCGAAAACCCCAGGCCGGUUUAAAGGCUUCAGACUUGGAAGCCCGAGGCUGACUAGAUGAUCCUCCCUCUGCCGAAUGGGGUUGAAGGAAGGUAGGCAACUCCCGAGGGACCCGAGGGUCUUUAGCCAACCUAUGCCGCUUCAUCCGACCCGUCUCCUCUUGGAGAGGCGCAUUCUUCUCAUUGAUUUUUGUGACAGCUACAAAACAAAAACAAGAAAUAAGUUAAGUCGUGAAUAAUGGGGUAGACCCGAGAAAAGUCCUAGGUGUAAAAAAAAGGGGGGUUUAUACCUUCAUCACUAACCCUUGAAAGACCAAGCUUUCUAAGAUUGAAUUCAUCAAGGAGAUCCCAGCAUUUGGAUUGGCCAUUAUCUUUGACCAAUUCAGCAUAGGCUGCCUUCUCGACAUCCGAUAGGUGGAUGGAGUCGACACUCCCAUCAACGACCUUACAAAACUUGGAUCUGAAUCCCACAGACGGCGCCAAAUGUUAUGGAUCAAAAAUCGAGGGGUGAGCUUCGUGCUUUUUGACUGAUCUCGCGAGUCGGAACUCAGACGGGUCCUCACGAGGUGCCUACGUAUCUUCAGCGGGGUGAAGAAUCAAGUCAAAAAACGUAGUUCUAUUUUGGAGGGGUAGAGCCCUUUAUAUAGAUGUCUCAGGGUUAGAGACUGAUUAGAAGUAGGAUCCCUGGUGUUAGAGUCCUAGUAGAAAUAGGUGUAUGAGUCAGAGAUAGGAUAGGACUGAUCUCUGAUCCUUAUCUUGAGCUACUGGAGGUUAUCUAGGACUCUAGAUAGUUAUCCACGAAAUUCAGAGUUCUUGUAGAACUCUCGGAGUCCUGGACUCGUCAGUCAGACUCCUAGUAGGACUAGGAUUCGAGUUCUGGGCCCUGACCGGGCUGGGGGGCUCGUGCCUUGAGUUUGGGCAGCCCAUGUUUCUCAAACAUGAAUGCCCAACGGGCCUUUUAUAACCUCAAUCUGCUAGCCACGAAUUUUGGGUGACAAACCCAGAAUCCGGGCCUUAUAUUCUGGCCUUUAAUCAGACCCGGGCUCAAAAUUACCCAAUAAUUUUUAGGGCCAAUUUCAGACCCAUAUCAUUUGCCCACCAACUUUGGAUAAGUUUCACCCAUAGGGCGCCCAGGUCGACCUCACCCAGGUCGAUUUAGGGCGUGUUGGGAGCCCAGGUUGACCAUGGUGAGUGUUAUCAGGCACUCCUCGGGCGUUCUUGGCGCUCCUGGGGCGCUCAUAGGGCGCUCCCAAGGCGCUCAUAGGGCGCUCUCGAGCGUAAUCAUGUUUGAUUAUGAUAGACCCAGUUCAGGUUGAUUUAAGAGUUUAGAAGGCUUUUAAAGCCGAGACUCGCUGUGUCUAGUUAGCUUAUUGUCUAAUCGAGACUAGUUUUUUAUUUGUUAAGUCAAACAAUAAUCCCUUAGGCAUAUCAUAGGCCAAUCUCUUAACUAAGACUGAGCCAUGGCAUGUGUUUUAGGGGCCAUUUCUAGGCUUAUUCUAUAAUGGGGUUGUAUUAGGCUUUCUCAGGCUAAAGCUUGGAAGGAUCAAGCUGAGGGCCACAGAAAGACCAUAGAACCCCUGUUUCGAGUUGAUUAAUUCGUUGUAGAUAAACAAAUACUCAAGGAAAACAUUGAAACAUUAGAUAUGGAACAAUCCUCGAGAAAUUUUAUUGAAACUAUAGUAGAAGAGAUAAAUAACUGAAAUCAACAAAGUUUAAAACUAAAUGACAAUGGUCUAUCAGACCUUAUUCAAUGGUUAUCUACUUACAAAGACAAUCAAACAUAAUAAAUCUUCAAGUUGGUGGCGUGCCAACUCCUUGGAACCUUGACUCCAUCCAGGGUCUGAAAGUUGUACGAGUCGCGACUAGUGACACCACUGCUUUGGCUCCAUAAGCUAACUGAAAGACUUCAAGUCUUGAGUCUCCACAGACUUUUAAGUUCUUGAUUCUCAGAGUUCUAGCUAGUCCAAGGCACGCCAAUAAGGCUUCACAUUCAGCCUCGUUAUUUGUGGCCGGGAAAUCUUGCUUUGUAGAAAACUCAAUGACGAACCCAUCAGGGGUUUGGAGCACAAGCCCUGCACCAUUUGUUUUUGAAACUUCGUCAAAAAGCUCAUUAAGUUUCUCCUCUUCUUUGGGUUCCUCUACCCUACUCUCCUGCCCCCCGACUUCCUGGUUGUCAAUGGUGCAUUUAACUAGGAAGUCAGCCAGAGCUUGAGCUUUGAUUGCCACCCGUGGCUUGUAUCGAAUGUCGAAAUUUUCAAGCUCUACUGCCCACUUAAUCAAUCUUCCACUAGCCUUCGGGCUAUGCAUUAUCAUCCUAAGGGGUUGGUCAGUCAAGACUUCGAUCUUAUUUGUCCUCAGGACUCUGAAAGCCUCUCUCAGGCGCUCAAGGUGAUCAGCUUUCUUCAAGCUCUUCACUAGCAUAUCAUUGACAUAGACCUCCACGGUCUUCUCAUUUAGAUGCUUAAACAUCUUAUUAGCUAAGCGCCAAUACGUGGCUCUUGCAUUCUUAAGAUCAAACGCCAUAACCUUUUCUGGUUUACCUCGGAACAAGGAGAUGGGAACCAAUUCCUUAAUUGAUAAAACCUGCCCCCCGACUCCCCCGGGUUUCAAGGCUGCAACAUAACAACUCCUGGCCAUUUUCUGGUCUCCUUUUUCUUCUCCUACCCCGUUUCUUGUGGGGAACUUGAUUUUCAAGUGAUAUGUGGAUGCUAUGGCUUUAAAAGCAUGCAUCCCUGUCCUUCCUAGGAUAGCGUUGUAGGUUGAUGAGGCCUUAAUGACCAUAAAGUUCAACAUAUAAGUGGCCUGUCGUGGCUCUGCUCCCAUGGUUACUGGUAAUUGGAUCAUUCCUUCAAUCUUGGAUUCUACUCCGUUGAAACCAUAGAUCGGCAUGUUGGACGGUGUCAACUGUGAAUCAGCAUACCCCAUCUUUUGAUAAGCAUCAUAGAAGAGGAUGUCUACAGAAGCUCCAUUAUCAACAAGAACCCUCUUAAUAGAUGAGUUUCCAAUAACGGGAGUUAUGACCAACGGGUCGUCAUGGGGGAACUUCACCCCUUCUAGAUCAGAAUCAUCAAAGGUUAACGCAAUCUCGGUCUUGGCCCUCUUCGGGGGUUCUCCAACGAUACACAUCACUUCACGAGCAUAAGCUUUUCGUGAGUUACUAGACAAGCCUGCUGCAGUCGGUCCUCCAGAGAUCAUAUUGAUCACGGGCCCUCGAGGCUCGGUUCUCCUAUCAUGAUCAUCAUUGUCCCUAUCGCGACUAUCAUUGUCACGGGGAUUCCUAUCUGCAUCCCUAGUAUACCUGGACAACUUGCCUUUCCGGAUCAAAAACUCAAUCUCAUCCUUCAACUGCCGACAAUCAUCGGUCUUAUGUCCUGUAUCCUUAUGAAACCUGCAAUACAAGUCCUUGUUUCUCUUUUCGGGGUCAGUCCUAAUUGGCUUCGGCCAUCGAACUCCUCCCUCUUUCUCAAUUUCCAUCAGAAUCUGACUCCUGGGGGCAUUCAGCCUUGCAUACUCAGUGAACCUCGGUCCUGAUUGCUUCUUGGUAGGUGACUUUUCACCAUCUUCCCUUUUCAAAUACUUGUUAUCAGCAUCAUAUUCAGUAUCGUUCCCACGCUUCUUAGAGUCCGUGGUUGGUCCCUGGUUAUUCUGGGAUUUUCUCAUGCUUUCCUCCGCCUUAAUAUACUUCCCGGCUCUCUCUUGGAGCUCAUUCAUGUUGUCAGGGGCCCUCUUGGCUAGUGAGCGGCGGAAAUUAUCAUCCGUGGUUCCUUGUUGAAGGGCGAUCAUCGCUACCUUUUGGUCCAAAUCCGGGACUUUGAGCGCCUCCUUGGUGAACCUAUUCAUAUAGUCUCGAAGGGAUUCGUUCCUGCCUUGGUGAAGGUUCAUCAACGAGGCUGAACUCUUAGCGUGGGUCUUACUCCCAAUAAACUGGCCUAUGAAAGCUCGGCUCAAAUCUCCGAACGAGGAUAUAGAGUUAGGGGGUAGUCGACUAUACCAGUGCUGAGCCAUCCCGCUCAAGGUUUGGGGGAAGGCUCGACACUUGAUGGCCUCCGUGACUGGUUGCAACAGCAAUGCAUUCAUGAAGGUUCGUACAUGAUUCGCGGGGUCACCCGUUCCAUCAUAUGCCUUAAUAGUGGGCAAUUUGAACUUUCGAGAAAUCCUUGCUGCCAUGAUUUCCUCGGUGAAUGGGGGGAUCGGGUUCUCUGGAUCACCUGCAGCCAACAAGUGAAUUCUAUUCAUACCUGAGUUCUGAGGGUUUUCAGUCCUUUGUCGAGGUUCGGGCGGUGGCUGCCUGGCCGAUUGUGCGGUCGUCACAACGGUUGAGUAAUGAGUCCCAUGAUCAGUGGCUGUGGCCACAACAUUAGUCAUAGGGGGCAGCGUGCCAAAAAUCAUAGGAAUCGAGGUUUGAGCUGCGGUGGUUGUGCCACUGCUAGCAAGGGUCAACGUGACUGGUGGUGUGGUGGUGACGGGAUUUGAGGUUCCAGCGGUGACCUGAGACAAGGGUGGAUCCUGGGUUGCGGUGUUGUCUCCGUUUGAAGGUGCAUGAAUUUCUGAGCGUAAUCUGGUGGACACCAUGGUUGUUGUCUUCUUCCCACAGACGGCGCCAAAUGUUAUGGAUCAAAAAUCGAGGGGUGAGCUUCGUGCUUUUUGACUGAUCUCGCGAGUCGGAACUCAGACGGGUCCUCACGAGGUGCCUACGUAUCUUCAGCGGGGUGAAGAAUCAAGUCAAAAAACGUAGUUCUAUUUUGGAGGGGUAGAGCCCUUUAUAUAGAUGUCUCAGGGUUAGAGACUGAUUAGAAGUAGGAUCCCUGGUGUUAGAGUCCUAGUAGAAAUAGGUAUUUGAGUCAGAGAUAGGAUAGGACUGAUCUCUGAUCCUUAUCUUGAGCUACUGGAGGUUAUCUAGGACUCUAGAUAGUUAUCCACGAAAUUCAGAGUUCUUGUAGGACUCUUGGAGUCCUGGACUCGUCAGUCAGACUCCUAGUAGGACUAGGAUUCGAGUUCUGGGCCCUGACCGGGCUGGGGCUCGUGCCUUGAGUUUGGGCAGCCCAUGUUUCUCAAACAUGAAUGCCCAACGGGCCUUUUAUAACCUCAAUCUGCUAGCCACGAAUUUUGGGUGACAAACCCAGAAUCCGGGCCUUAUAUUCUGGCCUUUAAUCAGACCCGGGCUCAAAAUUACCCAAUAAUUUUUAGGGCCAAUUUCAGACCCAUAUCAAUGUGAACCUCUGCAUUAUGAUUUUGGUAGUGUGUAGUGUAUUUAUAGAGUUGUAGUAUGAGAACGUGGCUUAUGUAUUUUUAAUGCAGCCUUUGUUUUUGCAGUGUCUUGUGAAGGUGGUCAAAAUUACCUAAUGUCAUGCAGCUUUUCAUUGUGCAGUGUGUUGUCAAGCUUUCCAUUGUGCAGUGUGUGGUGAAGCUUUGCUUUACAUCAUGCAGGAGUAUUUGCACUAUUCACUACUGCUGAUCAUGUGAAAAUCGCUAUUAUUCUGUACAUGUGAUCAAUUGGAUUGUAACUGCAUUAUUAUCGUAGCACUAUUAUGAUAUGCCUAUAAAUAGGUUCACAUAUUAGGUUCUCAAUGCACACACAACCAUAGAGGGCGCACAUAAUAUAGUGUAGAUAAUGAAUUACACACCAGGUGAUUUGUUUGUUGCCAUGGGUAGAAAAUGGUGGUGUGAUUCAGACUUUACGUACUCUUUAAACCCAAAUUUACGUUACUCCCCUGAGUCGAUUACUACCAUGUUGCAUGAGUGGGAGUGGCGUGUGCGUACGCUUGAAGUGUGCAGGGAACGUUGUUCACUAGCUGGCCUUUCAAUUCCCAAGCAAAGGGCUCGUACCAUGCCUCGAGAUACACCACAGGAGAUGGAGGCCGCCCUCUUCAGAGCGAGAGAAGAGGAGAAUCGCAUGAAUCUGCGACUGCAUCGUCAGAGUCUAUAGGAUGAUGCUGGGAUGUUUCGCGAAGAAGGGGACUGGUUUAAAGAACAACAAUACCUUGUAUUGGUCACCAGCCCUGAUUACUAUUCUGAUAGCUACAUGUUUGAUGACGAGUAAUUGGUUUGUAGAACCGUCAUCAUUGUUUCCUGCUUUGAAGUUGAAGUUGUAUUACUAGCUUUUUAUUGUCUUUUAUUAAUAAACUUUGUUGUAUUUUGUCAAAAACACAACAUGAACAGAAAACACAAACACACAACAAACAUAAAACAUGAAGAAGACAAUAAUUUUCUUCUUCAUCCCAUCUAGAUCCAUGUCCCCUCAUGGUCUUCUUCAGUUUCUCAGCAUGCUUAGUCUCCAUGUUUGUAACUUCCACCGCCUGUGACCAUUUCAGGUCACUAAUUUCAUUUGAAAGCUUGCUAAUGACCUCGGCAGCACGGCUUUCAUGACGGUCCUCUAGUCAAAAUAUGUAGCCGCAACCAUUGGGCCCGUCAGGACAUUGCACCAUCCGCCUCCCAGCGUCGGGACCGUUGUCUCGCCAAACUCUCCUAACUACGACUUUGUCACAAUAGCACUUCUCUAAAGAAACAGGCUCCAUAAGUUUGUAAAUUUUUUUCAGUUGUGGAUACAAGUGAGGUGGGGAGCCAGUUAUUUAUAGAUGAAAAUAAUUAACAUAGUGACAACAAUUUUAAUGUAGCAUUAAUUUAAAACUUUGAGCCAUACAUAACUUAUUAAACUUAAUAAGGAAAACAACAAUAAGUGCACAUUGGUGAAUCUAGCAUUUCCUGCUUGAAGAACCCUCCCCCUUAUUUUUUCCCUUAAGGCGUUCAAAUUCUUCGUCAUGCUUCUCUCUGAUCUUUUCCUUUGUAAAAUAAUGCUCCCAUAUAAGAUCACUCAUCUCCUUAGUCAUCUCAGUCAGCAGAGCCGCUGAACGUGGUUCAAGUGGAUCAUCAAUCCAAAACAUGUAACCGCACCCGUCCAGCCAGAAUGGACACCGUGACAUCUUUCUUCCAGCGUUUGGGCCAGUCCCUGGAUACGUACUAUGAACAGCAAGCUUUUCACAGUAGCACGUAUCCCCUUCAAUAACCGCAUUUACUCUCUCCAUGUAAUUAAUUUUUUGUUUUGAGAUGUAUAAACGAGUUGUCCACUAUUUAUAACCAAUAUUUCGUAACAUGGCUACAAUGGACGAAUCUGUAUGCAGCAUAUUAUAAUCUGUAUGCAGCAUAUUAUAAUCUGUAUGCAGCAUAUUAUAAUUGCAAAAGCCACAAAAAGUUCACAUGGCUACAAAAAACAGGUUCACAUGGCUACAAUGGAGGAAUCUCUGCCUUCCUCCUCAACUUGUUCACAUGGAUACAAUGGACGAAAUAGUAUGCAGCAUAUUAUAAUCUGUAUGCAGCAUAUUACCAUUGCAGAAGUCAAAAAAAGUUCACAUGCCUACAGUGGACGAAUAUAUAUGCAGCAUAUUAUCAAUGCAAAAGUAAAAAAAAGUUCACAUGGCUACAGUGAACGAAUAUAUAUGCAGCCUAUUUUCAUUGCAAAAGCCAAAAACAGGUCACAUGGCUACAGUGGACGAAUAUAUAUGCAGCAUAUUAUCAUUGCAAAAGCCACAAAAAGUUGACAUGGCUACAAAAAACAGGUUCACAUGGCUACAGUGGAGGAAUCUCUGCCUUCCUCCUCAACUUGUUCACAUGGAUACAAUGGACGAAAUAGUAUGCAGCAUAUUAUAAUCUGUAUGCAGCAUAUUACCAUUGCAGAAGUCAAAAAAAGUUCACAUGCCUACAGUGGACGAAUAUAUAUUAUGCAGCAUAUUAUCAAUGCAAAAGUAAAAAAAAGUUCACAUGGCUACAGUGAACGAAUAUAUAUGCAGCCUAUUUUCAUUGCAAAAGCCAAAAACAGGUCACAUGGCUACAGUGGACGAAUAUAUAUGCAGCAUAUUAUCAUUGCAAAAGCCAAAAGCAAUUCACAUGGCUACAGUCUUCGUAUCUCUACACCCUUGACAAAUGCUAUUUACUUUUAAUGGUUAAAGUAAGGGAAUCUCUGCCUUCCUCCUCAACUUGUUCACAUGGGUACAGUAGAUAUUAGUCUAUAUGUAAUCCUAUUUUUUUGAAAGCAUGUACACUCGCAGCUUCAAACUUAAAUCAUCUUCUCAGAAAAUGUACUCACCCAGUAGAAAAUGGUUGCUUAAACAAAUGAAUGACGACUACUAUAGUUUGAAAUACACUGAUCCCAAAGAGUAUUUUGCUGGAGUGAGGCGCGAGUGGGCAUUCCGUCUUGAAGAAUCCGAUCAGUUGAGAAAUGAUCUGAUUGGACUCGGUGCAAAGCUCCCCGUCCGCGAUUCUUUAACCGUUUAUCCGGCUCGUAACUUUAACGGUAGUUGGGCUGAUUAUCGUCGUUUGGUCAUUGAAGCUGUGGAACUAAUAAGGGAAGAGAACAAUAGAAUGUUGAUGCGUCGUUGUCGUUUCUACAUGCUUAAGUUGGCUCAAGAUUCAGCAAAUGCUAGUGGUAGGGAUAUGUCUUUCGAAGAAGAAUGUGCACUUCUUCAAAAUCCAAAUUACAUUUCUGAUUACGAUAUGUCCGAUGAAGAGCCAACUGAUGACGAUGAUUCUGAUUAAUAAAUAUGACAUUGCUUAGGGUUUGUACUUGUUCAAAAUCAAGGUGUUUGUACUUCUUUUAUUUUUAUUUCAAUGAGAUUGCAAUUACAAAGACCAUAAACAUAGUAAUACAAUUACUUGAGAAUUACUCACAUCUAACAUAUGACAGAAUUCAUCAUAAGGUAAAUAAAAUCCAUCAGUGAUGCUUUGCAUACUCGUCAAAAUUCGAUUUCUCAAUAUCUUUGACUUUUACAUCAUAUUCUAACCAGUUUUCUUCCAAUAAGGCUAUCCUUUGCUCGUCCGUGAUCUGUCCUCUGAAGAAAGAAUUAUUUAUAUCUCUAUCUUUUCUGUAGUGAUAUUCUCGUAACGGAUGGCCUACUCCAUAGAUUACUUCAGUGCGAGUUUCUUCCUUAGUCGGCACCCAAUGCCUGCCCUUUCUUGCUUCUCGAUAAUGCAACAACUGCAUCUCCGCAACAAACUUCAUCUUUCUCGAAACCUUUUCCGCAGCAAUUGAAACCUCGCCUUUCGUUUCUUCAGAACCCCAAUCUUCUAUCCCCUCGUCUUCUUUUCUCGAUCGUUUAUGCUUCCCCAUUUACAGCUUUGUUAUCUUGGUCGAUGUGAAAUGUGUGUGUGUGUGUGUAUGUGGUUAAUUCAGUAGACUUAUUAACAAAUACUAACACAGGGCCAAAAGAUAGAGAGAGAGAGAGAGAGAGAGAGAAUAAAAUGUGGCGAACUUAGGCCAACCAUUUUGCAACCGGACCUCGCCUUGUUUUCUCACCACAUAUUAUUAUAUAACAUUACAUAUAUAGAAUUUUGUUAAUACAUAAUGAAACUUGAAAAGUUUAUAUUAAUUUUUAUAUAUUAUUUCAUUUCAUUUCAUUAAUUAUAUUAUUUUUACAAAUUUAUAUAUACAUAAUAAAAUGAUUUAAAAUAACAUGAUAAACAUAUAAUAAAAUAAUGCAACAAUAUAAUAUGAUUUUGAAAUAUUUUUUGAAUUUUUUAUUAUAAUAGUUUUGUUAUAAGUUUUAAUAUAAUUUAUGAUAUUUUAUAUUUGUUUUAAUUUUAAUAUAAUUGCAUGAUAUAGUUUUUUUAAAAUUUAAAAUAUAAUUGCAUGCUAUGAUUUGUGAGUGUGUAGUCUAAUCUAUAGAGUGGCAGUAUGAAAACGUGGGUCUAAUCUUUACUGUUGAUCAUGUGAAGCUAUUCUAUAAAGUGAGAAACUUUGUAGAGUAUAAUCAGUGGAGGUUGAAAAUUUUUGUUUGUUUUGUUUUGUUAUUAUUUCGAUGAUAUCAUUGUCUUCAAGCUCUCUCGUUGCAUCAUGCAACCACCUCUGUAAUUGUGGUUUGAGGGCUGAAAUCCGAACUUGUUGGAAUGAUGAGAUGAUGGCUCAGAGAUUUUACUGCUGCGGUUCUCGAACUGUAAGUAAAGUUUUGGAAUUUACAUCAUAUGUUUUCAUUCUUUGUGCUUAAAAUUGUCCAAUAUUUCAUUGCAGGCAAAUAGCUGUUAUUAUUUCAAAUGGCUUGAUGAUGAGCCUUUGGAGGACGAUGCUAUAAUUACUCGAUUGAAUGAUGAGCGUCUACAUCUGCAGGAUACUCUUCACGCUUAUGAGACAAGGGUGCAAGAACUCGAGAAUGCAAUUAUCCUGGAGAGAAGCAGGAAGAUGCAUAAGGCAAUGACUUUCGUAGUAGGUUUAGUUUGUUUACUGAUCGCAUUGUUUGUGGCUUUUCUCGUCAUUUAAAUGUUGUGUUGUUAAAUCUGUCGCAAUUUGGUUUCAAGCACUUGUAAUGACAUAUUUUCAAGUUAAUGUCACGGAUUUAAUUGUUGUACAUUUAUCUAUCGUCCUUCAGUGCAUGAUCUAGUCAUUUUAGCAGUAAGGGCCUGUAUAGAAUUUACUUUGUCAUUUCAAAACUGUAAAUAUGAGUUGUCUUCUCACCACUCUAAACAAAAUAGAGACAACACUGCAAAAGAAGACUGCAAAGAAAACAUCACUACAGCAUGGAGUUGUCAUUUCAAACUUUAAAAGAUACAGUACAACACAACACUUCAAGUUUUGUAGUAGCUAAUAAAUAAAAUGCAUUACACUACAAAUUCGAACAUGGUGGAGGUUGGAGUCAGGCUAUAAUGUGAAAUCUGUCAGGCUUAUUACUGUACACAUGUGAACCAUGUCUUCCAUCAAAACACGCAUUCAAAUAGAAAGAAUGCAUUUAAAGAAAUCAAAGCAUGCAUUUAAUGAAAAGAUACUUCAGAAUACAGUUGGAUUUGAAUUUUUGCCUAACAAUAAUUCCUUGGCGAGUUGUCUUAUAAAUAGGUCCUCUAGUCUGCCUUCUAGACAUACAUUGAACUCAGUUCCACAUUUGAACUACGAAAAUACAUCGAAAACAAUAUUUCAUUCAUCACUUCAACUGCACCAAGAUGGAAAAGGGUAAAAGGCCAAUGUCCCCCGGCUACGAAAAACGCCUGGAACAGCAACAACACAGGAGACAACAACCGGAGCUAUUGUUGGGAGGGAUGCGCAGCAACCAAAAUAACCAACGACCUACAGUAGCUCCUAAAAGCAAACCACCACAGACGUUGAAGAUCAAGCGGGAUCAUGCGUACUAUUUGCAACGCAAGUUUUCUACUAGGAGAGCCCGAAAUGGCAAAGAUUGGGUGCCGACAGAGCAGGAGGUUGAGGACGAGGGGAGACGUUAUCCUGAAGUUGAUAAACUUCAGGAUGACAGACUUCGUUGCUUGGGUAUCCCAUUUUCUGAUGCUCGCUACAAUCGAUACAUGGCUGAAAUUAAGCAAGAAUGCGAUGCAUUGCACGCUCAGCUUGAUGCACGUGAUGAAGCUGAUUAUUGGGCAAUUUGGGGAGAUGUUGACGCUGAGGACGAUGAAGAUGAUGAUGAAGAAUAUGGUUCCGACUAUAUUGUUGACAUCACCAAGGAUUGAGAACACUAAAGACUUAGAAUUCUCAUUUUAAUGAAAUAUUUAACGGUGUAUCCGGCUAGUAACUAAGGACUUAUGCAUAAUAUUUAUUUAAAUGCUUAUUAGACUUUUUAAUUUAUUUAAAUGCAUAAUAUUUAAUCAGAAUCUAUUUUAAAUUUUUAUUAUUAUUUACUGUGGAAUCAUGUGAAAGUUUAUCUCCUGCUCGGUAUGUUUUACUUGUAAAUUUGAUGUGAAAUAAAGUUUUAGAGCCAUGCCAAACCACACCUCUGUGCAAAAGAUUUGUUAGCAGAUAUUAAAUGACGAUUUUGGAUUAACAUUAAAUAAACAACUUAAUGGAUACGUACUGACUAUUUAGAGAAAUAACUUAGAAAUUACACAUCGGGCUGAGUAUUGUACAAUGGACAUUUUCUGCUGCGUCUGGUGUGGCCCUCUUGCUUGCAUCGACCACAUUUGGAGCCUGUACGGGAACUGUCCAUCUCCGUUCGUAUUCUCACGGACUGGCCCCUUUGUCCUCGGUUUUUCCUUUUCUUUCUCAAUGCCUCGUUCGGUACCACAGUUCCAAACAUUCUCCAUUCCACUGGUAAGUCAAUAUCCCAAUAACCAGUUGCUGGUAAUGGAUAAAUCAUUGGCUCCCAUAAUUUUAACAAAGUGGAGUUGUAGUGGAAUGCAACCAGCAAAGUGGUUGCAACCAGCAAUCAAAUGUGAACACGGCAGGCGGUGGCAAUGCCCAUUUCCCGCAAGUACAUGUACCAUUAGUUAUGUCAACCACCUAUGUGUUCCCUCCCUUAUUCAUCCCUUUCACCCUGUACCUUUGUGUCUUAACGGAGAACAAGCCAGUUCCUCGGUUAAACGUUUCCACCCUGUGCCCGUUCGCCUUGGUUGAAAUCUUCUCCAACUUAUUUCUCGUCCUCAGACAAAGUUCGUGACCUUCGCUCAUGCUCUCCUGCACUGCGUUCCUCUCCUUGUUGACCGUCCUAACAGUUUUAUAAAACAGGAACUCAAGCAUCGCGGCCACCGGUAGAAAGCGAGCCACACGCACGUUGCCAUUAAAGCUCUCCGUGAUGUUUGUGGUGGCCUGACCGUAACGAGCGUGGCCUGUGUCAUGAGAAAUUGUCCAUAGGGCAGGAUUUAUGGCCCUCAGCCACCUAAAGGCAUCUUCCGAAAUAUCCCCAAUCUUUUUCAUGUAGGCGUCGUGUUUUCUGAUCUGUGGCGUAUUGCCGGCGAGCCACAUGUACAUCUUAAGCUCCAUUCCUGGGUAUUUCUUGGAGAAGUUGCUCCUCACAUGGUGGAGGCAGAAUCUGUGAACUCCGAAAGGCGGGGUGAAACCAUUGUUUUCGUCAUUCAUCGCAGCGAGGAUCCCCGUGGCACGGUCAGAAAUAAUGCAAACGCCACGUCUAUCUCGGCAUACAUGCUUCCGUAAAAGACGUAGAAACCAAGACCAGUUGUCCGUGCUCUCCUCAUCAACCAAGGCAAAGCAGAUGGGAUAUUGAUGGUUGUUAGAGUCUACUCCCACCGCUACCAGCAAUUUCCCAUUAUACUUUCCCUUAAGGAAAGUACCAUCAAUGGAAAUAACUGGCCGUGCAUACUGCCAACCAUCAAUCAUUGCUUUCAAGCACCAAAAUGCCCGAACGAAUGUUGAUGUACCCCUAUCGGUGUGAUGUGGAACCACAUUAACCACGACCACGCUUCCUGGAUUUGUACUGGCCAUGACGUUAAGGAACCGAGGGAGCUCGUUAUAGGUUGUUCGCCAGUUACCAUAAGUGCUCUCCAUGCCGGCCAUCUUCCCCCUCCAUGCUUUCAUGUAACUUAUCAAAUGGUGGUAUUCAUCAUUAACCAUUGUUAUGACGUUGCUCACCUUCAACUGAGGGGUUUGGGCCACCUGUACAAAGAAAAAAGCACUAAAAUUAACAUGCAAAUACAAAAUUAAAAUAGUUAGGCUUAUAAUCAUAUAAGGGGUUGUACGACUUACGUAGGGAGCAACCAAACAUCCAAUCAUUUUUGCAGAAAUCUUUCGGUGGUCCUGCGUCGGCCUAUCUAGGAGGCAUGUGUGCUGCUCUGGACAAUUUGUUAUUUGAAAAAGCCCGUGGGUCUUCUUCUUCGCCGCCCUUAGCUUCCAGUUGCAGUCUCGAACCACACACUUUACUUUGUAGACGGACAUGCUGCUUUUCUCCACGAAGAAGUUCCGAUCUGUUUUUAUAUGUGCCUCUUUGACAGCAGAAAUAAGUAUAUCUUUGCUAGCAAAUAGAGCUCCCUCGUUUAAAUCAUCAGCGGCCGGAUCAAAAGCAAGUGACACAAGUGGGUCCCUAUUUGAAACUACGACAGGCUCGUAAUCUUGGCUUGUAAACCAGGGAGCUCUAGGCUCAUGCAUAGUCACUGCCUGUGUUUGCAUACUCGUGUUGCCUUCUAGGGCUUCGUCUGAAUCAGCCUCCGAAAAAUCUUCUGAUUCAGCAGCCUCCUCCUGUGACAAGUUCCAAUCCGAAUCGUCACUGCUGCUUAUGGCUCUUUCCGAGCCAUACUCUUCAUCUUCGUCUUCGUACUCAAGUGCAAGAGUAACAACUGCACCUUUGUUCGGCAUUUCACGAGGUGGUGAUGGCUGUCUUCCACUCAAAUCGUCCUCGUCUACAACCUCUUCAACAACAAAACGACCUGUAUUACUAGAGCCGCCUCCAGCCCCGUAGGUGUAGCCACCCUCGAAGAAGCUACUUGACCACCCUUGCAUGCUCCCGUAGUCGCUUUGCCCAUAGUUCCCCCCAUAAUCCCCUCCAAAACUCCCGCCGUAGUUUCCACCAUAAUUUGCAUACUCUCCUCCUGUAGCGAUUUGUCCGGAUUGUUGUGUAAAUGACCUUUCGUACUGUUGGCUCGGCUGAGCAAUACUCUCAGCCUCAAUAAACAAUGCUACGUCUCCCCCCAAGUGAAAUCUCGUGGGUAUACUUAACAUUCUACUAACAUCAUCGUCUGAUUUAAUAGACUUAACAAAAAACCCAGUAACGAGGUUAGCAACCCCGAUUCUUGGAUACUUGAUAGUAAGCUUGACAUCCCAAUGACGCCUACUAAUAUGCAUCAACUGGAAGACAAUAUCUCGUAAUUCUUCAUACGAGGUGCCCAAUUUCACAAACAUCAUUUCUUUCGGAUCUAGGGAGUAGAGAAUAUCGUUAUCUUGUUUGAUGAUUUCACCUCCCCAAAAGAAAUUAACGUUUACGUAUCCGUCCAUCUAUGAUUUUGAAGUGUGUGUUUUUUUAUGAUUUUCGUGUUCUGCUAGGAUUUUCUCACAAGGCAGAUUGAUAAUAUGAGGGAGAGUUUGAAGUGUUUGUUUUUCUGAUUUGGUUUUGGUGCAUAAUGAAGAACACAAAAUGCUGCUUAUAAGGACACAAUUCAAAAGAAAACACUGUGCUUGAAUAGUGGAUGCAUUUGCUUUCUCCACUUAAUGGAUUUUGCAGAAUCGUCCUCUCACCAAAAAAGUGAUUCUUUCAGCAGUAAAAACAGGCAUGAAUAGUGGAUGCAUUUGAUUUUUCCAAUUAAUGGAUUUACAGAAUCGUCCUCUCACCAAAGAAGUCAUCUUUCAGCAGUGAAAACAGGCUUGAAUAGUUGAUGCAAAUUGCUUUCUCUACUUAAUGGAUUUGCAGAAAAUCGUCUUCUCAGCAAAAAAGUGAAUAUUUGAGCAGUAAUAACAGGCUGGCUUAUUGAAUUCUUGAAUGAUUUGAAUGAAGUUGGCAGCUUUGUCCAGUGUUAAAUCAAUGUUUUGUAAUAAAAAGCUAAAAAACCUACUGCAGUGCAGGGCUUGGAUGUGACCAUACAAUCAAAAUUAUUUGCACACCCUUCAAAAAAUAAUUCUCUGCAUCACAUUUCAAUAAUUUCUUUAAAAUAUAUAUAUAUAUAUAUAUAUAUAUAUAUAUAUAAUUUACAUUAAAUUAACAUUAAUAAACUUUAAAUAUUAGGUAAAUAAAAAAAUAUUUACAAAUUAAAUUUAGUGUGGGUCUCCCGUAGCAGGGGCGACCCUGUUCGGAGGGAAACCCACCAACAGGGGUCGCCGGAGCCAGGGGCGACCCUUGCCCUCACCACAAAACAACACAGGUCGCCCUUGCCAGGGGCGACCAUUACUCUCAACAAAAAACAACGCAGGUCGCCCUUGGCAGGGGCGACCAUUACUCUCACCACAAUUCCUUCAGGGGUCGCCCGAGUUACGUAUAAUUAGGCUGGUUAGUUUUGAAAAGUUGAACGUAGGGUGGUUAGUUUUGAAAACUUUACAUUCAAACUGGUUACUUUUGUAAGGGAGCCCUGGAAGAGUUAUGGAUAAUUCUAGUACUUGAGCGGUUAAGAAGACAAUGCAAAUGAGCAUUGAGUCAUUGUACCUCGGACCAGCCAUUGAUGUUCCGGCAAUACUUUGAGAAAGUUUCCCAGAAUUAGGAUUUGUCAAAGAAGAUCUUCAUGAAGUUAGUUCUAUCCAAGCACAAGCUAUGGUGUUUUUGUCAGAUUUUCACCAGAGCUUUUGCUAAACAAAGAGAUUUUACCUAGUCUGCAACUCAAUGGAAGAUGAGAUUUUUCAAGAAACCAAUGCCAGUAGAUGGAUUACAUAUUAGGCAUGUGGGAUUACAGGUGUUCUAACUUCCGACCGAGCAACCGUUCUUACAAAACACUCCUUAUGGUUGUGAAAUAAACGAAAUCUAGGAAACUUUAAAAAAAUCACUAAAGCUUUUCAAAAAAAAUAUGCAGGAACUUAGUUUUAGCCUGUUAUGCUCCUAAUAAAAUACUUGUUCACCCUGUUCUCAGCAUGCAUUAUCAUUUAAUAUCAGAACCUGGUGUACUAGUUAUAUUGUUAGAAAAGCAUGGAGCUUAAAGGAUUAUCAUUUUACAUGUCAUCACUUCUUCAACUGAGAAUUUUAGUUACUGAAAAGAAGAAUGAACUGAAGAUGCUUCUUCACUAGGAUGGAAUCCUGAAAAGAGGUCCUUUCCUACGAGACAAGUUGAUGAUUUCACGGGUCCAGAAUUUACAACGACCAACUAUGUUGUUAGAGCUCAAAAUGAAGUAUCUUCUAAAUCUAAUGUCAAGCUAAGUUGCAAAAGUGAAAAUUCAGAUAAUGAAUCCGAUAAAGAUACAAAUUAGUUUUCGAGUAAGAUUUAAAAACUGUCCGAAAGAAGAACGAGAUGGGAAAAAAAGUUCCACAAGUCAAGAACAGAACUUUAAAUUCAAAGGACAAACCUGCUUCAUAUAAGAUUAGGUACAUCUUAGUUGAUACAUUUAGAAACUUCUUAUUAGAGUCUUAACAACCCUUCUGACUCUGAAACUUCAGUGACUUUGAUUAUCUACAACAGAGUUCAGCAUUUAUAAGAUUUAUUAGAAAUCGGAAAAGCUGAUACCAACUUGUGAAACUGCGAGGGAAAGUAAAAAUAAGUUGAACAUGACAUACGAGUGUUCAAACUACAUGUUUUAUAUUUUAACUUUUACAAUGAAUCAAGUCUGCGUGAAGCUGUCCAGAAACUUACUUUGCUCCUAUACAUUUGAACCAGAAGAGCCUCCACAGUUACUGAGUAGAAAUUUAAAUAUGCAUUCGAAAAACGAGUGGAAAUUUAAAUGAAAUAUCUCACUGCAAAUCUGAUCUACUUUGAAACGCUACGUGCGAAUAAUUUGGUUCAGUACAGAAGUUAAAAGAAGAGGACAAAGGUUGUUGUAAUUUAUUUCUUCAUUUAUCAUUCAUGAUUCAACAAACUUAUGGCAUCUCCAAGGGUAAAAAAAUCCUUAGUUCUAGUUUUAGUGGUCUAAGUGGUGUCUAGCAGUACUUUCAUAUAAUAUGAAAAAAAAUUAGUACUCCAACCUUCUGUCACCUUGGUAAAAAAUUAUAGACAAAAAAAUUUUGUUAGUUAUAUUUGUUGAACCAGAAAACCCUCUAUUUUACUAAUCUUAGUCAUAGAUAAUCUCAUUGCAAGAUAUAAAAAUUAAAAUUUUACAUUAUCAUAAUAGCCAACCAUUUUAGUUAUUAGUGUCGGAGAUGCCCUUAAACAAUCAAUAAUUGUGGAUCUUAAAAGAAGGACGUGAUGACGAUGGAAAAUAAAGAGUUUCCAAAAGUCAUAAAGAACUUUAAAGUUUCAAAGGACGAAACCUGCUUCAAAUGAGAUGAUGAUAUUAGGUGCACUUUGGUUUAUACUAUCAGAAACUUCUUCUGCAGUUUUAGACUUAACAACCCCUCCCGAACACAUUGGCCACAGCUGGAAAGAAGCUAUAAAUUUUAAAUGCUUAUACCAACAGGCUAAUAAGAUACUUAAAGCAAAGCAAAAGAAGCUCACCACAGGGCUAUUGAAAAUAAAGAAUUACUCGACGCCAUCUAGAGACAACUAAACUACCAGGCACAACAAGCUGAACAAAAAGUCGUGAAAGUGAGAUCCAUUACUAGGCAAAACUCUCUACCUUCAUCAUCAUAAAGAGUCUCCUGAUACUUAUCCAAACUAGUUGAAGCAUCUAUCUAUAAAAAUUGACAAAUAUUGCCAUAUCGGCUUCCUCUGCUAAAUUUGUUAAAAAUUCAGUAAACUGACUAAGUUUAGAUAGUCGUUGAGCAAUUUGUGCUGUUGAUUUAAUUUGUAGUCUGAUUUGUGAGUCAGUAACUUCAAUGACUUCAAAAUAAGGAAAUAAACGACUGUCCAUUGCAUACGAGUGUACAAACUCAGAUGUUUUUUUAUUUUACUAUAACCUAUGAAUCGAGUUUCUGUUGUCUGAUUGGAGCGCGAAGCUGUCCAGGAACUUAACUUUGCUCAUACACAUUUUAACCAGAACAGGCUCCACAGUUACAACUUACAAGUACGAACAUAAUAAAUUCAUACAAAAAACGCGUAGAAAUUUAAGAGAUGCAAAUCUUAUCUUCUCACUUAUUAGGCUCUCCUUUGAAAUGCAACGUGCGAAUAUAUUUUGGUCUUAUACAUAAGUUAAACGAAGACGACAAAGGUUGUUGAAUAAAUCUCUCCGACUUAUUAUCCAAGAAGUUUAUAAUAGCCAUGGGGGCCUCGUGUCGAAAAGCUUCCAUUAUUGAACCCAUCACUUACCCCUCACAUGUCUCCAUUAAAAUUCACCAUAACUUUAUUGGUAAAACAUAAAAAAUCUUCUAUUCCACCUGCACCACUGUAAACUAGGGAUGGCAAAAUAAUCCGAUCCGACGGAUAUCCGAUCCGAAACCCGAAUUUUUGGAUAUACCGAACCCGAUUUUUUGGAUUUGGAUUUCAUUUUUGUACCCGAAAUUUUUUGGAUUUGGAUAUGGAUAUGACCUCUACCGAUCCGAAACCCGAUCCGAAACCCGAAACCCGAUCCGAACCCGAUCCGAACCCGAAACCCGGAAAAAAAAACCGAAUAUUAUAUAUAUAUAUAUAUAUAUAAUAAAUAAUUUAAUACGAGUGUGUGUGUGUGUGUAUUUAAUUUUUUUUGAUGAAUGUAAUUUAAUAAUCUCAAUAUCAAUAGAUUAGAUUAAAGGAAUAAGAGAUUCUAUUUAAGACAAAUACUUCAUUAAUAAUAUAUUGUAUAAAAUAUAUUGUAUAUUGGUAAUAAUGAAAAUUAAUGUGGUUUACGUUUAUAUUAUUCUAAUUUAAACAAAUAGAAUCCCAUCCAAUAAUCCUAAUUUUGAAAAAAAUUACUUAAUUAUCAUAGUUUAGACAUGUUUAUAAUUUUUUAUUUUUAAAUAUCUUUUAAGAUAUCCGGUUGAAACCCGAAUCCGAUCCGAAACCCGAAAAAACCCGACGGAUUGGAUUUGGAUUUUACAUUUUAAUAUCCAAACCCGAACCCGAUCCGACCCGAAAUAUAACGGAUUGGAUAUGGAUUUCAAGAAACCCGACCCGAUCCGACCCGAUUGUCAUCCCUACUGUAAACUCUUCCUAUAUAAGCAAGCAAGCAUAAGCACAUUUUACACAACUUGAUCCACACCUUAAAAUGAAGCUCCCAACUUCAUUUUUACCUCUUCUUCUUCUGUUAUCAACUUUUUCUUUCUCUUCAUCAGCAACCAAAACAGAUGACUUUCUAAAUUGCCUGGCCAAGUCUUCUGAUUCCACGACAAUUUCCAAGCUUGUUUACACCCCAGCCAACUCCACUUUCGAUGCUGCAUUAACAUACUCUAUUAAUAACCUUCGUUUCGCUCAGGCCUCAACUCCGAAACCCCUAGUCAUUGUCACCCCAACAACCGAAUCUCAGAUCCAAAAUGUCAUUUACUGCACCAAGAAAACAGGCUUGGAAAUGAGGAUCAGGAGUGGUGGCCACAGUUUCGAGGGCUUCUC
Molecule: long non-coding RNA, 45371 nt
Filed under: Daucus carota (carrot)
Lineage: Eukaryota; Viridiplantae; Streptophyta; Magnoliopsida; Apiales; Apiaceae
Description: long non-coding RNA (DCAR_LNC005522)
Source: RNAcentral